GUAUUGAUGGGCGCCGUCGAGGGCUACCGCGUUGCCGGUGGCCCGCUCGGCGAGGUCACCGACCCGCUAUACCCCGGCGGGAGCUUCGAUCCCUUGGGCCUGGCCGAUGACCCGGAGGCUUUCGCCGAACUCAAAGUGAAGGAGAUCAAGAACGGCAGGCUGGCCAUGUUCUCCAUGUUCGGUUUCUUUGUUCAGGCUAUUGUGACCGGCAAGGGUCCGUUGGAGAACCUGGCCGACCACCUUGCGGAUCCUGUCAACAACAAUGCUUGGGCCUACGCCACCAACUUCGUGCCCGGAAAGUGAGGGAGUAUCCUUUAGGAUUUUGUUUGGAGAUUGAGAUUGCUGGUGUGAUGUACAUCAUUCCUGUGCAAUAUUAGUUCUCGUUCUUCAUCACCAUGUAAUGAAUCUUCUGUUCGUCUUUUCUUUUGUCACUCCUUCUAGUAUUUUUUGGGAUAAAGAUUGGCAGCUAUUCAGUGCCCCAAAUCCAAUUCCUUCCGGAUCUACGUAAAUCAAAACNNNNNNNNNNNNNNNNNNNNNNNNNNNNNNNNNNNNNNNNNNNNNNNNNNNNNNNNNNNNNNNNNNNNNNNNNNNNNNNNNNNNNNNNNNNNNNNNNNNNNNNNNNNNNNNNNNNNNNNNNNNNNNNNNNNNNNNNNNNNNNNNNNNNNNNNNNNNNNNNNNNNNNNNNNNNNNNNNNNNNNNNNNNNNNNNNNNNNNNNNNNNNNNNNNNNNNNNNNNNNNNNNNNNNNNNNNNNNNNNNNNNNNNNNNNNNNNNNNNNNNNNNNNNNNNNNNNNNNNNNNNNNNNNNNNNNNNNNNNNNNNNNNNNNNNNNNNNNNNNNNNNNNNNNNNNNNNNNNNNNNNNNNNNNNNNNNNNNNNNNNNNNNNNNNNNNNNNNNNNNNNNNNNNNNNNNNNNNNNNNNNNNNNNNNNNNNNNNNNNNNNNNNNNNNNNNNNNNNNNNNNNNNNNNNNNNNNNNNNNNNNNNNNNNNNNNNNNNNNNNNNNNNNNNNNNNNNNNNNNNNNNNNNNNNNNNNNNNNNNNNNNNNNNNNNNNNNNNNNNNNNNNNNNNNNNNNNNNNNNNNNNNNNNNNNNNNNNNNNNNNNNNNNNNNNNNNNNNNNNNNNNNNNNNNNNNNNNNNNNNNNNNNNNNNNNNNNNNNNNNNNNNNNNNNNNNNNNNNNNNNNNNNNNNNNNNNNNNNNNNNNNNNNNNNNNNNNNNNNNNNNNNNNNNNNNNNNNNNNNNNNNNNNNNNNNNNNNNNNNNNNNNNNNNNNNNNNNNNNNNNNNNNNNNNNNNNNNNNNNNNNNNNNNNNNNNNNNNNNNNNNNNNNNNNNNNNNNNNNNNNNNNNNNNNNNNNNNNNNNNNNNNNNNNNNNNNNNNNNNNNNNNNNNNNNNNNNNNNNNNNNNNNNNNNNNNNNNNNNNNNNNNNNNNNNNNNNNNNNNNNNNNNNNNNNNNNNNNNNNNNNNNNNNNNNNNNNNNNNNNNNNNNNNNNNNNNNNNNNNNNNNNNNNNNNNNNNNNNNNNNNNNNNNNNNNNNNNNNNNNNNNNNNNNNNNNNNNNNNNNNNNNNNNNNNNNNNNNNNNNNNNNNNNNNNNNNNNNNNNNNNNNNNNNNNNNNNNNNNNNNNNNNNNNNNNNNNNNNNNNNNNNNNNNNNNNNNNNNNNNNNNNNNNNNNNNNNNNNNNNNNNNNNNNNNNNNNNNNNNCAACUGUUAGCUGAGCUCAUUGGUACCCAAUUUUAUAGAAGAAGGAUAGGUGUCGAUAUUCAAUGAUGUCAAAUAAUCAUCAUGUUAUUAAGAAAAGAAUCAAUCAUAGAAAUACUUUUGAGAUAAUGCGAUGACCAGCCGCCAUCAUUACAAACCAACUUAAAUUACUGGCUGGUCCAUAGUGAAAGUCCCCUAAACUCGCAUCAUAUUCUAAACAUUAAUUAUCUUGACCAUUAGAAUCAUAUGCUAAAUGUGAAACUCGGCCGAUCGGGCAUCAUGUCUCAUAAAAAUUAGAGUUCGGUCAAAAAAUGAAUCGAUCAAUAGUUUCUCGCUCUCUCUCAAAACAACACCAACAAUAACAAUAACAUGUACAAAAAAAAAAAAAACAAGCAACAACAGCAACGUGUCAAAAAAGAAAAAUCAUAUUUUAUUAUAUGGUGCCCGCCCCCAUUUGAAUUUGUUCGUGAGCCAUUACCUAACCCACAAUCCUUCCUCAACGCCAAGGCAACGUUGACUCGAACGAUCGCGUACUUCCCGUGAAAGCACGCGUCUUUCCAACGCGUCGGCCACAGUUCACACCUGAUAGGCUGAUUGCCAUCCCAAAACCCAAGACCGAUGACACAGACUCACAAACACGCGGGUUCCACAAAGUGGUUUAUUUUUUUAUUUUUUAUUUUGAUGGGUUCUGUAUAAAUACAUAAAAAAAUUAAAAAACACAAACUUACCCACUGACAGCUUUUCCUCUUCUGACCACAGGACGUAUCAUGAGUGAUGAGCCGCAUAAGCAGCCAUCCAGUCAGCUGCCUCAUUGGCUUCUUUGAAUACAUGCUUGGCUUCCAAGGCCACAUCAUCUCUCACCAUCAUCCCAAUAUCCCUGAUUAGGAGGUGAUUUGUGCUCCAAAGUGGUUUAUUUAGCCAUGCUUUAAUUGACGUGUUUUCUUUUUAAGAUGGAAAUGGCUGUGUUCUGUCUCACCUCGGCGUUCCACAACAAAAUACACGUCGAUUCAUAUACAAGAAUGUUGCAGUAGGAAUCAUGAAAAUAUGGUAUAAUGGUCUAAUGAGAUCCGAGAUUAGACAGUCAUUUUCAAAAGAAAGAAAACAAAAUAAACUUUUCUUGCCAAAUCCUGCCGAAAGCGGAAGUAAUAAAUACUUUUCCCGCAGUUGAUCCAAGAAUUAGUGCGACUUAAACGGGGGCAACGGUUGACUCAAGAUGAAAGCUGAUGUAAAUUCCCGUGCACAAGAAAUUUCAGAGCGCACUUGCCCUCUAAUGCUUAUAGCCGUCGGGUAUGACUCGCCUAAGUCCAUCACCCUUGUCUCUCUCUGAAACUUCAUGGCGUUUUCCUCCUCCAUGUUUGCACAGAAAACGAAACCGUGUGGAAGGCUCAUUUUUCUAAUCCACGGUAUAUAUAAACAUGCGUUUCGAGGUGUGAAAGUACAUAGAAAGGAGGAGACUCUCCUUGCCCACUUUCGCUCUUGCUAACGAGGAGGAGCUAGCCUUCUUAUCGGUAACUAAAUCUUAUUAGCUAUAGUUUGGGUGGGGAGGAGAUGGCUGGGAGGAAACGAGAAUGGUUGCGAAGAAAGAUGAAAGUUAUGACGGCUAAGGAUCGGCGAUGGGCACAUAGAGUUCGUGUUUUGUCGUCGAUGUGGAGAAGGUGGAGGCAGCCCUGGCAGCCACAUCCCCACCUGCUAGUCCUCCUCGACGACGCACACUAUUACUUGAUGUGGGUAGUCGAGGCCGUCACCAUUGUUGCCUCACUUUGCUUCUUCUUCCUGCGCUUUGGUUUUCGGGUUUGAUCUUCGAAAUGGAUAAACCAGCCAGCUUGGGAGGUGGAGAGGGAAGAGUUAAGUGGUAUCUGCAGCUGAAGAUGAGAACCAUUUUAUGUAGACUUCUUCUUCUUCUUCUUCUUCCAGAGAGAUGUGUUAUAAUUCCAUUUUAUUGUUUGUAAAAUUAAUUAAUUCAUGCUCGAUCUUAUAUUUUUCGUUGAUCAAAUAGGUCAAUGCACGGAAGCUGUGUUAUAUGAUAUAUUAUAUAUACGUGAAACCUUCAAUCAUUGGAUAAUUAGUUGGACUUGGACUAUAUCAUAGUUGACUUGUAUGCAAGUUCAGAUUGAAUCCAAUUCGAAGUUUUAAAGAACAGGGAAAGGAAUAUUUCACUAAACCCAACCACCAACAAGCAGGAAGAAAGUUGAUGUCGCUGAUCUUGGUACUUUUGUACAAUUGUGCAAAUGGGAGCUUCAUUCUACUUCACAGUCAGACGAAUCUUGUUACCAAAAAAAAGGAUUGCAUAACUGAUGUUUAGCUGUACUAUUUAUUAUCUUGCUGAUAAUUUGCAUCAAGCAAGUUGUUAAUAAUUAGAGGAGGAACGAAAAACAGUAAAAUACUAAAAUAAAAUAGGAAUAGUGAUGCGUUUCUUUCAUCAUGUCAGACAGGUGAAGUCAAUGGCAAAAUGCAGUAACAGUUACGUAGUGUAGAAACAACAAUUUUUUUCAGUCGGAUUUCUAUGUCGAUCACCACUGAUCACCACCUUACUUAUUGCCGGGAGAAAACGGGAGAGUUACCGGGAAGCUUUCGUCUGAGAAUUCUUUUGUACUAUUUUUUUGCGUCAAAAUUUGGUCCACCACAUCCAUCUCUAGAUAGACCGGUGGCACAUGCUUAUCUCUUGUACCAGCCUUCACUCCCAGCCCUCAUUCAAUGGCUGCCACCUUGGCUCUCUCCUCUCCCUCCCUCGCCGGGAAGACGAGGGCAGGGUCACCAUGCGCAAGACGAAGCCUUUCUCCUCUGGCAGCCCAUGGUACAGCCCCGACCGUGUCAAGUACCUCGGCCCCUUCUCCGGCGAGCCACCAUCCUACAUGACUGUUGUAUUCCCCGGUGACUACGGGUGGGACACUGCUGGCCUCUCUGCAGACCCUGAGACCUUUGCCAAGAACCGUGAGCUCCCCACUGCAGGUGGGCGAUGCUUGGAGAACUUGGCCGACCGCCUCGCUGAUCCUGUCAACAACAAUGCUUGGGCCUGCGCCGCCAACUUUGUCCCUGGCAAGUGAGCAAUGGAGGGAUCAUCACCAAGGAGUGAUCUUGAUGGAUUGCAUUGGUCCGACUUGUAAUUGCUCUUGGCGAUGUAAGAUGGUGAAUCGUGUACCAAUAGUGUAUAUUCAAUAAUGUUCUUUUAUUCUUCAAGCUCCUAUUCUCCCCAUAGUAACAUCUUGGUUGCAGACAGUGGGAGAGGCUUGGAGUAUGAUCCAAACCUCAUGCCUCUUCAUGCAAAAGCAUACAUGAUAUAUUGAUCAUCCAGCAACAUAGAGCGAAGCAAUGAUUAAAUUACAAUAUCUCAGUCUAGAGGAAAGAACCAAGACUUCUUCACACCUCAUUACAAUAACAGUAGAUUAAGUUUCCGACCUUUAUUUUGCCCUUCCGAACUUAGCAGCUAAUGAGGCGACUGGCAGAAACAUGGAAAGGAAAGGUGGAUCUGAUCAAAACAGGAGCUACUGAUUCAUAGCUGACAGAGACAGCACCAAGAUACCAGUCGCUGAAAAUAAUAAUUACAGGCAUAUAUUUCAGAAAAAAUAAAAAAAUAAAUCAUGCGUUUUUCUGAAAGUCAACUUUUUUGUUAAAUUUUGCGAUGGCAAAUUGAUUUUUGUUCUGAAAGUUAAUGUUUUAUUUAAUUUUGUGAUGGCAGGAUAUGGUCUUUAGCUUAGUCGACCGAGGAGCUUCAUCCAUCUUGCCUUUUUAAGCGAUUCGAACGGCAGUCUUCAGUUUGAUUGGUAGAUUAAACAGAAGAAUGUGAUUUUGUUUGUGUUUGCUUUCUUCUUUUUCUGGUUAGGCAACUGAUGGAAAUUUUGAUUAUGGUCCAAACUUUUUGCUCGAAUCCGAGAUGGACAACUGAAGAUUUUAUCUUGAGUUAAUGUUUUUAUUGAAUAUUUUCUGGUACCAUAUGGUUGAUAUUAGUAUUCUUGGUGUAUCUUAGGAGCAAUGCUCAGGAUGCAUGCAUAUCAGUUGCUCACUCUUGCUGUAUUGGGAAAAGAUGAGUCCUAAUAUUAGCUGGUGACCGAGGCGUGACAAUCACCCCUACGAAGACUGACUUCUGCGAUGGCUCCGGUAGAUUCCCUUAUCAAGCCCCCGCCUAUGAGUUGUUUGCUGCCUUUUUUUUUUUUUUUUCCUUUCUUUUCUUUUUUUUUCUUGGUAAACCGACCGCUCACACUAAUCUCGCGUGAACAUUGCCAACAGAGUCACAAGCCAAAAUACUCCACAGCGGUGGAGGAACAAGUACAUAGUGAGUCCAUAAAAUCUCUCCAAAGUGAUGAGCAGUAAAGAAGGCGACUUAGUCAGCAGUUUCGUUCGUCUUCCGGUACACAUGGCCAACCUGAUUUGCUUAUUUUUCAACAAGCAUGCAAUAAGAUCCAAUGUAGAUCUAACUUUGUAUUCACUCGUGGCAUUCGAAAGAUCCGAGGCGACCACCAUUGCUCCUGCCUUCUCAAGAUUCCAUACAUUCCUUAUUAAUGAAUGGACAACCAUCCUUUUGAGUACAAGUUUAGAUUUGGCCUUAACAAAAAAAUGGAGCAUUUAACAACGCAUCUUCACAAAUCAAGGACUGCAAAAUCGCCUCUUUCGUUAUGGGGUGACGGAAGGAUCAAACCAUCAGCCAAUAUGAUGCUAACACUGCAACUUUAAAUUCAUUUUAUAAUUACGAGUUUUAAUUAGCGAAUAUUAAGAUCCUUGCAUAAAACAGUAGAUAAUAUGGCGGCCAAUGUUUCCGAUGUGCCAGUUGUGCUCAAUCUAAAAUUUCUCCUCUCUAUCAAUAUCUCAGCUCAUCUUACCGUCCACCGCACCAAGUUUACAGAGCCGAAGGCCUUAGAAACCUAAAACCGAACAUAAGAAACAGAGCAUAUACUCAUAGUAAAAUCUUUCUUUGAUCCCCUAAGUUGGUAGCAAUAGCUAUCUUUUGGAAUAAUAUAAUGACUCAUAUUCAAAUAUCUUAAUCCUAUUUAAGUGACAUCGACCUUCUACGCCGAAUUCUGUGAGGACACCCCAGAAAUCCUAUAAUGGCCCAGAAAUCACCCCAGAACUAAGUCCAGGUGUUUCUCACUGCACAUUCUGUGAGGACAUGUCUCGAUUAGACCUGACCAAACGAUCUGGCCGAUUUUUGCCGGUCUCAGGCUGGAAUUUCAGCUCCUUGCAUCAAUGUUUUAAGCCCGACAAAGUAAAAGAUAGGUUCAAGCUUGGCAUUUCUAACCCAGCACGAUUCAAAAUAUAUAAUAUAUUAUAUACAUUAUAAUAUAUAAUAUAGUAUAUUAAUAUAUUUAUGGUUUUACUCAGAUAGUUUGGAUGCAAGGAACACUGCUUUAAAAGCUUUUUUUUUUUAAAGAAAAAAAAUCAAUUGUACGUAUGUUUAUUUCUUAGAAAACUAAAACAUUUUGAAAGGUCAUAACUAGUUUUCUGAAAACUUUCUUUUUUCCAUGAAAAAGACUUAGUUUUUCUUUUUAUUUUCCAUAGAUUUUCAUGUAAUUAAACGUAUUUUAAAGAACUAGCCUCGUGUGCAAAAAUUUGAGUACGAUUGCUAGAAGCAAGGACACUGCAAUUCAAAGCGACAACUACCUCCCUUCGGUGAUUUAAUAAGAAUAGACAUGUUAAAUUCAAUGCAAAGCAGGAGUUAAAAUUGCAAUUUCAUGAAAAAGAAUAAAUAAAUCUCCAUUGAAGAUGUACAAGUAGAACAACAAACAAAUGAUUAAAUGGAGCACCCUGUUUGGUCUCUCAAGUAGCCUGAGUUUACUGCCUCUGGUGCUAUUUUCAGGACAUAACACACCUCUGCAAAUAUGGCCUACUGCUUAUGACCCCCUGAAAAUUAUUAUUUGCACCAAUACCCAUCAAAUUCUCUUGUUUUGGCAAUAAUAUCCAUCUCAUUAGAUCUUUGAUUGACGGUGUUGAUAACUGUUUUAAGUAUUAAAGGACACUUUACCCUUUUGCAAUAACACCCACGAAAAUUUAUAACAUUUAAUUUACAUCAUAAAUAACUACAUUUUUGCAUAGAUAUUUCAAGAGUAUUCAUGCAAAUUACAAGAGUAAUAAGUCAUUUUAUAUUUAAAAUGAUUCUUUAUUACGGCCAUCAGUCAAAAAUCCAAUUGCAGGGGCAUUGUUGCAAAACAAGAUGAUUUAGGGUAUAUAUACAAAUCGUGGAAAAAUAUGCAAUAAACUAUAUUUUGAAGGGUAUAUAUGUUGAAAAAAGAGACACUUUUAGCCAAUAAGAACAUACCCUGUCUCAGGUAUCAUAUCUGCAGCUGUUGGAGGCAAAUUAUGCCUUGAGACAUGCUCUCUAACCUUUGCAUGAGUUUCAGCAUCAUGCUGAAACAUCGACACCAGCUGUUGGAGUUCUAACUUCCUCACCUGAACCUGCUCUUCAGUAAUAGGAGUUUGCAACCCAAGAUACAGCAACCCAAGACCAAACAGGACAGUUCCUACAAAGAAGAGAACUCCCGUACACAAGCUAAAUGCGUAUGGAGUAUUCUUGGCCCCUGGUAUGCCAUCCACAUUGAUCCCAAAGAGACUGGUAAUUAUGGAAAGAAGAAGGCCACAACCACCAAAAAUGGUCAAAUUAUGGUUUACACGGAGGCUUCUAUCCUGAAUUCAUAAAUCGUUAAAACAACUCAGAGAUCAAAACUUUUCAAAGAACCUUCAUUUAAAGAAGCACUUGCGUCAAUGUGUUAUUCUAUUUAUUGAAAAAAAAAACAGAGAAAGAUGUCUAUUAGCUAGGUACCUGCAACCAUGCACGAACUGUGCUCUGCAUAACAUCCUGAAUUGUAAACAACCGUCCACGGACAGCUUCUUGCUCCUCCAACAUUUCCCUUGUAUUCUUUUUGAUUCCCUCUAGCAUAGUUCUUGCAGCAUUUCCUCUCAAGUGCUGCAGAAGCUCAAAUACGAUUUCCUCCCUUGCAUGCAAUGACCAUUUAACUCUAAUAACCUGCCACAGAAAAUUUUACAAAGACUAGUCAUCUUUGAAAAACAGCACAAUAAAAAAACACAGGAUAAAACUUUCGUAGUGUUAUAGUGUAACAUCCUAGAACCUCACACAAAAUGACUAGCCGGAAGGGAUUAUUUGGGUUCCUUGAUCCUGUAUAAGUAUCCAAGAUCAACGCAGCGAAUAACCGAUGUGGAACUAAACACACGCUCGCAUGGGUCCUCACAUACUUUACUCGUUUAAGCCCUGACGUCCUCAUCAGGCUAAGAGUUCAAAUCCAUUCAAAUUUAAUCACAAGUACCACGAUCGGCCCGUGGUCAGCCCAAAUAAAUCUGUGCUACAAUGUCUCCUAGUCUACAUAGGUUAUGGACUAGAUCCACUCUGAUACCAUUUGUAACAACCCAGAACCUCAUCCAAAAAUGGCUAGCCGAAAGGUAUUAUUUGGAUUUCUUGAUCAUAUAUAAGUACCCAAAAUUUACCUAGCGAAAAACCGAUGUGAGACUAAACACACGCCUACAUAGGUCCUCACAUACAGAAGUACUCUCUAGAUCCCAAUACAAGCCAAUAGGCAAUACACAAUCAGGACAAAAUGCUAGUCUAUAUUUCUUCUUCGAGCCAUGCUUUACUUUAAUGAAUUAAUUCUAAUCAGUAUUUAAAACAAAGUCCGCAAGCUCGGUACCGGAUAGCAUAUCGGUACCUUAUCAGUUCGGCACGAUAUGGUAUGGUACACCUCUAUGCCAAAAUAGCUCUCUAACCAUUUUUUUCUAUUUUCAUCUCAAUACAGACCGGUACACACCUCGGUACGGUGUGGUAUAUCUCGGUACGGGGCGGUACGCCUCGGUACUACCAACUUGAAGAUGUGUUUCAUAUUGAUUUUCUUUCGAUAUGGUACGGUACGACCUGUACCAGGUGGUACGACAAACCUUGAUCUGAAAUAACAUUAGAAGCAACCCUAAAUGGUAAAGCUUGGUGAACGAUGAGAACAUAAAAGUUGGGACAUUGCUUAGUAUUGAUGGUAAGAAUUAGUUGUACUUACUAAUGACCAAUGAUAGCUAUUAAAGAUUAACGAAUAUGAGUGAGUUUACCCAACAAAAUCAUCUUUAGAUUGUCAGCUGGAAAAUCAAUGGGUCCCUUGUACAAUGAUACCUUUUUUCUUAUUUUAAGUUGCGCUCAAAAUUUUCACUUUGAGCUUAAGAAAGGUUCAAAAUUAAACAGAUUACGUUUUGCACUGAAACCAAAUUUUCCAUCAGUUAAUGAUGGUUGCUUUUCUCACAUAUGUAAAUGUUUCUUCUUUUAGGCUGUAUGACCAUAUCAGAUGGAAACUUUACAACAAGUAGGAAAAAAUUUAAGCAUGUUAAGAGUGCAAAAUUUUCAGCCACCACCGAACUGAAGCUUAGGAACUUUACAACCAGCAUUUCUCUAUAAGUCUACCAUGCUUGUGGAUCUUACUUUUAUAGGAUGGUGGAUGUGAAGUGACAUCCGGUCAUAGGCAGCUAAUGGUAUGGUUUGCUGCUCUUUUAACAGAGGACCAGCAUGCAGAUUACCCUAUUACCUUUAACAAUGCUCUGCUUCAUUUUUUCCUUUUCAAACCUGCAGGAAUUUUCCCUGCAUAGCAAUUUCCAACUUCUUGGGGCCACUGUGUCAAUGAAGAAGGAUAAAGAGAAUGGUAGCCUUCUUGGUGGACCAUUGUUAGGGACCUACCUAAUCAUCCUGGUAUUAGCUUUCUAAACCAAUUAUCUGGUUUUAUAAGAGAACCAGUUGCAGAAUUCCAUCCACUCUAUAGCAACAUAAACCUGGAUUUCUCCAAGACCCCUCCAAUGUAAGUGCAAAGACUAUGAUUAUUCUUUCUCAUGCACUUUGUGACAAUACUCAACUGCAGGCCUAUCAAACCCUUUACUUCCAUAUAUGUUAAAUUACCAUGCCACAUGCAGUCCAGAUGUUCAAUAUCUUCAUCACUUUUAAUAAUUUAAUUAGUCAGUAACCAUAAUCUAACAUUUCUAAUAGAGGCUGUGCAAAUUGUUCAUUAAAAAAGUGAUUAUUAUACAAUAAUGAGAGAAACCUUGAACAAAGAAAAAGGAUUGACUAGGAAGUCCAGUGUGAAUACCUGUGUUGCCAAUCUUCUAAUCUCUUGGUUUAAGAUUAUAGUGAGUAAAUUUAGAUCUUCACGAUUUCUCCUGGUGAAGAUAGCAAUAUGUUACCAAUCUCUGUAUAGCACAAGCAUAAGCCAGAUCUAUAUGAAGCAGUAAAUACUAAAAUAGAUAUUUCUAUCCAGAUAAUAUGAUCUUAUAAUAGAAAGGUUACCUAUUUACAAACUUCAACUCGAUUUCAUCAGCUGCCCCAAAAACAUGCUUGCGAAACAAUCUGAACAAUGUCCAAAGGGCACAUGUUAGAUAUAUGGUUUAUAUUAUCAUAGGAGUAACAAUAAAUUUGUGCCAUGAUAGUAACAUGAUAAAGAAGUACACCAAGUAACUGGCCAAAGAUUCCAAUAGAUGUGUUGAUCAUAUAGAAAUUAUGCAGCUGAGAGUACUUCUAAGAUAUUCUUGUUGAUUCAGUGAUUUGCUUGAACCAGAUAGGGCCUGAAAUAAAACUUGGGAGCUCAUUCAAGUCCGGUCAAUCACAUUUACAAAUUCUCUGUUGGAUCAGAUCAUGUGUACAAGUCUAAGACCAAUGAGGUUAUCAGUUCAAGUCAGGUCCAACUACAUCAAAACCUGAUUGCACACAUUCAAAUUUGAACUAGAGCAGGGAAGGUCAACACUAUGUCAUGCUGUAUGUUCAGUUCACCGGGCCAAAAUCUGUUCUUUCUGUUUUCUCCUUCCGCUUCUUCUAGAGGUGGUCUCUCUCCCUUCUUAAAGUGGGUGGCUCUCCCAGAAGGUGGAGCCACUAGCCAAGCUACUAAUUAAGGUAAAAGAUCAAUAAAUACAAACUAUAAUUUCACUGGACUUUUAAGAAUACAAAAUUAUGAACAUAGUGAAUGAAAGAGGCAUUACAUCUUAUGAACACGUCUGUGAAAAAACAUGUUUAUGCUUCUCUAAAAUUGCAACUAAAAUAAUAACUAUGCUCAGCUUCAUGAGCUAAGCAGAAAUCUCCUCAAUAUAUUAUGUUCCAGAACAAAGUUGCAAAUCUCCAACCUAGCUUUGUGGUACUUGGACAUACAAUUUAAGUUAGUGUUCAUCUGUUAAAUUACUUUUUCUUGAAAGGACUAUUAGAUACUUAUACAAAAUAAUGGUAUUGUUGGCUAUGAUUCGGACAAGAUUCAAAGCCUACAUGUGUUGGAAAGAUUUUUUACUCUUUUUGUUCCCCUAUAAACACACCGUAUAAGUUUAAAGAGUGCUACCACACAUGUAAAUACAUCUACAUCUCUUGAUAGGAAGUAAUGGUAGCAAAAAAGAAUUCAAAGCUUGGGGAUUACAUCUUACAAGUCUGCAGAAGCAGCUAUUAAGUCUUCUUUUGUAAAUAGGAUCAUCGAUAGGGUAGAUAUGUUUUCAUGGAGGAGACACAGAUUUUUGUUUGAGAAUCAAUAAAAAGGCCAGGAGCUGCUAAUUAACAUCCAUGGAGAGACUAACGCAAUGUCAUAGCAUGAAACUGAGCAAUGGCAUACCUGGGAAAAGCGAAGGUACUAAAGUAGAGACUGCCAAUAACCACUAGUACAAUUUGGAGGAAAUGAUUGGUCAACCAAAAGGGAAAACAAUAAAUUCAAGUAAAAUUAACAAUGAAGGCAAAGAGAACAGCAUAGCUAGGAGAGAUGCUCAAAGAAGGUAGGUCAUGAAAAAACUUACAAGCACCUAAGAAUUUUUGUCAUAUCAUCAGCAACUCAUAUGCUUAAAGCUCUCAACUCUCAAGUGAAUCCAAUAAGGCUUCAAUCAAGGGUUCAUAUACUAGUAGAUUACUAGUAAGAUAGCGUACCAUACCUAGACAGUAUGCCUUUUGGUGCAAGCACAACAAAAAUGAUAUACAAUGUGCUGGUACUGUACAUUACAGUACAGAGGGGGCGCGCCAGUAUAGCUCACAAACUAUAGCCCAGUAUUUAAAUCCUUGGGUCUUCACAGAACAAAACAUCACAAACUUGAUAUGCCAAAAAGGGGUCUCUAGUGGAAUGAGAGGAGUGCAAACAACCCUUAAACAAUGUCCUAGAAGGCACAAGUAAGAUUUAAUGAAGGUGAUACUCUUUUGAACAAAUGAUUACAAAUGAUAUUAAGCAAAGAUUAGACCCCAAGUACUUUAAGUUUCUUUUUUUUUUUCCUUUCUUUUGGGGUGGGCAGGUAGGGUUUUUGGUUUGGGGGAGCUGGGGGGAAGGGGAGGGAGAGAGAAGAGAACAAAAUCAGCAGCUGAUAAAUUGAUAUGAAAAUGGAGGCUUGUUGAACCAACUUAGAGUGAUUAGCAAAAAUCUAGAUUUAGGACAAAUCACUGCAGAAUUGAGCAAGUUUCAAAUGAUCAGGCAGAUGCUAUUUUGAGUUAAUAUAACUGACAAAAAGCAUCCUCAGUUACCUGCAAUAAAAGGGUCUUUUGACUUAGUACAGGAAAUCUAAGUACAGCACAAAAUUCAAAGAAAACUUGAAAGUCUAUGGUUUCUCCAAUGUCUAGUAAAAGUUCUUCGUGAUACAGUGCUCAUCUUGCCUGACUGUGCCAAUACUUUGAUGAAAUAAUUUCAAAUGGCAUGCGCACAAUUUGGAUAAAGGUCAUUACCUACUUAUUUUCCCGACAACUUGGGGUCCUGGGAGGGGCGAACUGGGUAGAGACCUAAAUUUUGGCCUUUUUUUAUACAUAGUGGCUGUCCCAAGACUUGAACUGAUGCCAUGGCCCUCAUAAGCCCAAGCCUUUAUCAUUGCACCAAGCAAUGGCCCCUAUCAGCACAUUUUGGACAUGCAACUGAAAAGCUUAACAGUGAAAGCAGAAAAUGCAUAUGAUAAUAUUCAGGAUAGCAGCAAUGCCCAAAUAUGCAAAUGUCACGCGAGUAGCAUGGUCUGGAAUGGUAACAGUAUAUCACGAUACAAAAAAAUGCACGUAAUAGCAUAUUCAGCUGAAAUGAAAGAAAAUGGUGCAUAUAUACUAAAGAUGGAUAGUUAUCUGCCUUCUCCUUCAUAAAUGGACAAGAUUCUAAAGUUUUGAGAUAGAAAAUGACUACCAUUUGCAGUAGCAGAUAGCAACAGUUUAGUCUAGUUGACUAGAAAGCAUUUUCUUUUCAUGUAUAGAUAGGACAAAGAGCAAAAGUGAAAGUAUACCUUCUUACAAUAAGCACAUGGAACACGGGUAAAGGACUAUAAUAUAGAUAGAUUUUCAUGGAAUUAUCAUUUAUAAUCUAUAGGCAAGAACUCAAGAGCAUCGGAUAUACCAAAACUUCAGCAAAUUUAAAUAAUCAACAACUGGAAACAACAACUAUAUCGACAUCACCUAUCAUCCCAUCGAGAAAGGCGACAAAUUAAAUGUGCUAUAACUUCAUGAACUGAUUUAGGAGCAACACUCCCACCAGCAAGAAGAAGCUCCUGAGAAGAAUUUGAUCAUUUAUCCUCAGUAUUGGACAGACCUUAGAUAUAGGGGAAAAAAAUCAUACUCAACAGAACAAGGAGCUUAGUAAAUCAAUCAACAAAAUAGUAUAACGACAUGGUUAAUCUCUUUUAAGUACCUGAACUUCAGUUAUCCCCAACACAUUUAUGUUUGAAGCAGAACCUUUGAUAUGCAAUGCAGUUAUUAAAAAGUUUUGAGCUUGCCAUGACCGAAGCACAAUAGGUAUGUCAUCUUCAUCACAAAAGGGAUCACCGACUGACUGACCUAAAAGUUCAAAUAAUAGUCCACCUGCAACCCUAACUGGGACCUGAAAAGCUAACAUCAGCCAUAUUAAUUUAAGAGGAAUGACAACAUGAAAUAAGUGUAUAACAAACUAAAAGGAAAGUUGAUAUUUGACUGCCUCAAGAUUAUAUUAGACAAACAUAAAUGCAUAGCAACGGAUAUGUUUUCAUUUUUUUUUUAAAUAUAAUUUUAUGGAUUCAAGUUUUAAUUGGUAUCCUAUAUAUCAAGACUACAUUAAUAUACAGAAUCCAGUCAUCUGUGCAAACUCAAUACGAUUACUUUGAUGGCUACCAUUGUAAGAAAAAAAAAAGAAAGAAAAAGAAAAAAAGAUCCUCUUAUUUUUUAAGCAAAUUCUUUAUAGUAGUUCUUUAUUUGUCAAAUGACAGCUUUUAAAUUUCCCAUUUCAUACUGUGGAAUUUGAUAAUGUCUAUUACCAACCCUUUUUAUUUGAUCAUUCUUGUUAUACCAGGAUGGUGUACCACGGAAUGAUUAGUUCAUGAUAUAUCAUUCUAAAGUUGGAUCUCCUUUAUAUACUAAGGAAAGGAUUUUAUCGCCACAUGGAAGAAGCUGAUGUCUACUCAUCAAGUGAUCAUAUUCUGUCUGCAUGUUUUCCCAGACAAUAUGCUGAACUUUUAGUCUGUUGAGCCUGAUGUACACGUGGACCAGUCUCCUAACAGCUUAAGCCUUUGGGCUCAAGCGAUUAGCCAACAUGGUAUCAGAGUUAAGAUUGCUGGAGGUCAUGAAUUCAGAUCCCCUCUAAUUUAAUUAUCUAUUUAGUUAAUCCAGUUGUCAUCUCGACUCGUUAUUUCUCUGUUCAGUAGGUGGGCAGGGUCUAUCUUGUAUGCAUGGGAUGAAGCUGGUAGGUUUAAGUUGAGGCUAAUGACUUUCCUGACAUAUAUACACGCUCAAGAAUAAAUAAGCUAGUUAGCUGGUGCCAAAACUUAUUUCAUACCAUGAAACUUAAGAAGUAAUGAAUUCCUUGUUACAGAAGAUUAUCUGUACAAAUUUAAAUAUCAAGGGUUGACCCGUCAAUUUGAAUGAAUUUUGUAGUCAACGGAUCUAAGAUUCUCCUAUGAACGUUAUAGGCAUUCUUCAAGUUGAUUGGUUAUUUUGUAUCAAAUAGUAGGUCUAUGCUAAAAAUCUAGGAGAAAUUGCAAUAACAAACAUUUGGAAAAGAAGGUUAAAGAACUGUAUAAUUUUUUUCAGGAAACAAAGGAAUUUUAUUGACAUAUACAUGAGAUAUGUCUAAACACAUGCAAACAGUGUUUUUUCUAUACAUAGAUAGGUAGGUAGGUAAGUAUCAUGCAUUCAUGACACCUAAAGAAAUUACAAACUUAAAAAUACAAAGUGUUCAUGAAUGGAGAUGGAGCAGCUACUAGAAGAAUCAGUAACAAGUCACCUCGUAUAAAAGGUGCUUCAUCCGUUCACUAAUAAGCCAACUCUCAUCUCUCAAGGCAAUACUGAUGGCAGGAUGCAACCAUGGAGAAUUACUUAGCCACGAAUCAACAUAAGGAUGACCUGCAGUUACAUGACACCACCAUCUAGGCCCUGCUGGACGCUCCCAGUAAGGAGCUGCAACAGCAACAGUAAAAUCAUCCUCAUCAUCAGUAAGAUCUAGUGAAGCCCAGCGAGCAUCAGCUUGGACCAUCUGGACGAGUUCCGAAAUCCUAGCCCAACCAAUAGGAAUCCAAUGGCUGUCUGAAAAUACCCUCAUAAACUUUGGCUUUUCUUUAUAGUCAUCAAGUUGAGGAACUUCCUUGACACCUAAGAUGGAGACAGUGUUGUUUAGAUCUAUGAGAGGCGUGGAUUCCGGUAAGCUGUUCUUAUUCAAAUAUUGCGAAGAAGCAUUACCAAGUCCAGAUCUAGUAAUUUGCUUCUUUGGAUUCAGACUGCCCUUUCGCUGCAAUGAAAGGGUCCUUGGACCAGAUUUAUCUGGACUUGCCGACCUAUGGCCUCGGACAAAUUCAAAAGCACAGAUGAGCCCAUCUGUCCAUAGUUCAUUCCGUGGUGCACCUUCUCUACUUGCAUGGAAUUUACUGACCUCUUGCUUCUUACUCUUACUGCCCAUGCAAGCUGGACUUUGUUCAUCAUAAUCGCUCAUUUUAAUUUCAUCUAGAGAAGCAAUUAAAAAUUUUCAGUUCAUUAUUUGUGAAGAUAUUUAGAUAGAACAGGAAACUAUGGAAUAUGAGCAGUGCCAGAUAAUGAUCUUGCAUUCUUGAGAGCCUUCCAUUGGCUGAAACUUGCAGGCUUAGAAUGAAAGUUUAAAGUUACCUACAACAUGCUUUCAAGGGUGGGAAGGAAAUAAAAAAGCACGAUAAUCAUAUAUUUACCUGAGGACAUGCAGGAUAUCAGGAAGCAAGUUCUUUUAACUAUAAGCUAACAUACAGUGAAAUACUCCUUUGACAACCCUAAGUCAAGCAUCAUGAAUUGUAAAAGAAAAAGUGAACUAGUAAUAAUCGUAUACCUGAAAAGGCAGGCAACAGACAUCAAACGCCACUGAUUUUCAAAUGUGGUUUUUAUUAUAUGCCAACAAAGUACAAAAAUUCAGGUAAGUCUGUUGAAGCAUAAAUUAAGAAAAAAGGAUUGUUCUUCAAACAUAAGAUGAAUGCCUCCAUCUAUGGCAAACAUAUAACAGAUAUACAAACUGAAUACCUUUCAAGAGGAGGGUAAAGCUGCAUAUGGGGUUGCAGACAUUGGCCAGAUGGAUAAUUUGAAUAGAUUGCCUUCUCAUGAAGGUCCAGAAAUCAGUCUGUAUAAUGAUUGGACUAUUAUUAACAUAAAGAGUAACUUAGAAUUGCCAGAGGGUGAUAAAAAGAAUGCUGCAAGAGGACUGCACAUUGAGUUCUCCUUGCUUUCAAGCUUUUGUUAGGAGGGUUAAAAUCCAUUAUUUAGGGGAAUAUUUGCAUAAAUAAUUUGGUUAUGAUGGGAUAUUGGAUUCAUAAGAUCAUUAGUAGAUACUGCUAUCUUGAAUAAUUUAUUUAUUUUUUAAUGGCGAAUCAACCCACUUAAAGGUCAACUGGAAUUUAAUUAGCGGCAGAGAGUUGGGUCACUAUCUAAUGACAAGGAAUUGUAAGGAAAAUGAUUUUGUGCAUACAAUCUUCUCUAGGACAUACAGAUGUGGCCGCUAAGAGCAGCAUGACCAUAAUGCUCUUCGUCUAUUUUCUUCUCUUCUUACAUUAUUCAUCAUGAGAUCUGUACUAGGCACGGUACCGUCAGUUUCUUUCUGAAAAUGAAUCACUGUCUUCAUCAACAUGCUCAAACCUUUUGCUCUCCAUCUUUACUCACAUUCAUCUGUACCUCACAAGAAUUGUUUCCCUUUGUCUCUGAGAAAUAUUAUCUAGAUAUCUUUCUUUUACAUGCUUAAAGCCAGUCAUGUUCCAGUUGUUUUGACCAAGAACAUGACUCUAAUGAUUGCUUAUGGGCAUUGGAACUCUCCUUGAUCCAUGAUGCCACCUUGUAUGUGGCUUUAACUGUUCAAAGCCUAAAAUUUUGCUGCCAGCUCACCCUCAAACUCACGAACACCAACACUCACCAUUGGUAUAAAGAAAUUUUUAGAACAUUUAUCCAUGCUCUCAUAUUCUCAAUGUGGAUGUUCAGGCUUGAUUAGGAUUGGGUACAUUAUCUCCUUGGGAAAAUAUCUUACCUUCCAAAAGAGCUCUUAUCUCAUUUAGCACCCUUCUCCCCAUCCAAAUAUAACAUAAUCAUAACCAUCAAGUCCAUCCCAAUUAACAAGGAAUACCUCUUAUGUCGGGCAUCUCAACGUCCUUUCCCACAUUUACACAAAUUUAAUUGACAAUGGCUAGGUCCUCGUCACCUCUUUCCUAUGACACACAUAUAAGCAUAUGUUCAGGCCUUGAUCAAAUCUCUGUUAAGCCCAUAACACCUUAACAAACUGUAAAUUGCUCUACACUCGAUUUAUGCAUACUUUAUGCCCCUUUUCAUCAUAUCCUUCCUAGUAGACAUGCAUUCUUAAUAAUACAAUAUUUGAUCCCUUAUCAUUAUUAUCAAACAGAAUAUUUCAUGAAGUCAGCAACUAUGCAUUGGUCAAAUAACACCUCAGAAGCAUUCUCCAUUCUCUUGGGCAAUAAAUUAGUAAUAUCGAUACCAAUGCAAGAUAAAACGUUGUUGUUAUCCAGCCAAGAAAAAAUAGAACAUUUUAAUCCCAAAGUCUAUGCAACUUUUAACCCUCAUUUAUAGUUAAAAAAUUGGAUAUGUGCCCCUCUCAGAGACAUGGGUCCACAGAAACCAUGAUGCAAGCCUUCGAUUAAUGAUUCUAUGCAUCAGCUUACUUCAUAAACUAAUUGUUUGCUAGAAUUUUAAUUUCCCAGCAACAAUGUUUAUGUUCAUGAUAUACCACAUUCAUAGAUUGGGCUUUUGCCCAAUACUUUUCCCAAAAGAAGAAAAAAAAAAGGAAAAAAAGACAUUCCACCUUCAUAAACAACAUUAUGCCAUGCGAUGCCUUCCAAGGAAACAUAUAAAUCCCUUCCUUAUACAAAAAAUUCGCAGACUAUGGUCCAGCAAACACCUUGGCCAUUAAAAAUUCUGUAAUCAAUUGUUUGCUUUUCUUUCAACUGUUAGAUUUGAAAGUUCUUGCAUCAAAAUUUUAAACAAAUAAUUCAAAAUCUUAAAAGAAAUAAAUACACAAGUCGAAGUGUCUAGUCUAUUGAGAAACAAUCAAUUGUAAAUCAAUCGACUAGCUUGUGAAGCCAACUAUCAACUCCAAUAUCUAACAAAAGAAAUAAGUCCUCAACAAAACAGAGCAACAUCUAACACCUUUUUUUUGCUGGGGGCGGUGGAGGGCUGAGAGAUUAAAAAGAAAAAUAAUUUACUAUAGAAAAUAAAGAAAAAGAAUUGAUAAUAAAAGAAGAGAUUGAGACAGAAAAUAAUUACCGAGGAUUGGGGAGGCGGCGAAAUCUUUCUGGACUCCCUGCUUCUCCUCUUCUCUUUAUUGUUGUACUUUUCUGGCUUCGGAUUUGAAUAAGAGAAUAUAUAAAGAAAGAAUUUGUAUAGGAGAAGGCGGAGCUCUGAAUCCGAUCACUCUCGAGAAGCCGACAGUGGAUCAGCUGAGAGACUCAGACGCGGAAGAAGCACAAGGUGGAUUAGCAAUAAGAGAAUCAAAGGUGGGUUGCCUGAAAUUUACGCUAGACGGCAUAGCGAAGCAAAUGCGGAGCCGUGGAGGGAAGGUAGUGCGAAAAAAUGAAAUUAAGAGGGCAGUUGGGCUUCUAGCCUUUUGACACACAGGCGGCGCUUCCACGGCGUUCUAGGCGUUAGCCGUAAAAUGGACCCACAAAGCGAACCAUUUACCUGCUUUCGCGCUCGCCAAAGGUACGCCAAGCAAUAUCCCACCGUAUUCUCUCUCCUCUUCGUUCCGAAUUCCGAGUCCGCCCUCCCCCACCAUCACUCUCAUUUGUCGGUGGCAACGGUUAGCAGCAAUGAUGAAUAAAGUUGAUCAGACUUGAGAAAAAAAUAUACAAUUUUAAAUAAGCUAAACCUAAAAUUUUAAAUCCCUAGUUCUGCCCAUGAUCAGCUCUAGUAAAAAUACCGUGUGACGAUGGUAAAAAAAAAAAAAAUCAAAAAAUGAUGAGAGACUUACUUCUUAGUUUCAAUUUUUAAAAUAAUAAGAUAAUUUUUAAUAGUAAAAAAUAAAAUAAUGAUACCUAAUAUAUUUUUUUAACAAUUAUUUCCCAUCUUGUUUCUAAAAAUAAAAAAUAAGAAAUAAAACUAAAAGGGUCCUUAGAUUCCCAGCGAAUUAGAGAAGUCUCUCCUGUUAGAUAAAUCGAGUUCACUGUUACAUGAAAGAAGUCUGCAGAUAAUGCUCUUUAUCAGAAUAAAUGAAAAGAACACAGCUCAAAUAAGUCUCACGUGGCUAUAAGAUAAAAACACACUCAACCCCUAAAUUACAUUGGACCUCUCAAGGCCUCAGACAGCAGCCAAUUGGGUGAUUCUUGGCUGCUGCUACGUGCAGUUGAUCAGACCCAAAUGCUCGACAUGAAUUACAUGUGAUCAAACUGUAUACAGGCCCCAUCAAGGUAUCUCUUCCACACACCGAAAGACUGAGAGACAUGAGCAAUCGCUCAGUAACUGUGCUGCCACAUCUGGUGCGAUGCCUGCGAUGGUGCGGCCUGGGAGACGUUCAGAUUUCCUUCGCUCGGAUUUUGCUGAAGUUCUUGGGGGACUCCUGCCUGCGAAGGAUAGAAAUUUGGGUAUCCCGGAGGUCCAAAUUGCGAAGGCUGCUGACCCUGUCGAAAGCCGCUAUGCUGAUUCUGCCCCUGAAAGCUGUAGAAAGUGCUGGCUGGAAGAGCUGACAUUGUUCUCGAACCAGCUCCAUGAACCCACAUGGCAGUGUUAUCAGCCUGCCAAGAACUAACAGUCAAAAGAAGGCUUCGCUACUGAAUGCUUUAAAAUUCACGGCUAAUAUUAUUACCUGCUGAAGAGGCAUGUAAUGAUUUGCUUCUUUGUACUGCGAGCUUAAAGCUUCCUCGAGGCCGAUGGUUGUGCUGGCAGAGACAGUGGUAGGAUCAAGGGUGAAGCUUCCAGGAAUGUUAGCUGAGCUUCCAAAGCCUCCAUAAGCAGAGGCUACAGCAGCAGACUGGGGUAGACUGGUUACAGAAAUGCUGCUUUUGUAUUGCGGUAGCGUAUACUUAAUGCCUGCACUCGGUAUUGUAGCUGGAGAUUGAUGGAAGGGACCAUUGCCUGUGUACGGUUGUUGGAAGGCAGCAGAAGGCAAGUAAGUAUAGCUCUGAGGCAGAAAAGGGAAGCUGAUCAUGUUGGCAAAGUGGCUUGAAGGAAGAGCUGGUUGAGUGUAAUGGUGGACAGGUAGAUGUUGAGGGAGAGCAGGACCCGUAGAAAUGGUGGUGCUUUCUGGAGAUGUCUGGGGGUUGGAGAAAAUGCCCUGCUUCCCAGCCUGCACAAGGUAAGCAGAAGUCAGGACAAUGAAACGUAACUAAAAUUAUCAUGGGAUAGCUUAAUCAUUAAUGAAGCUACUGAUUUUGGAACUGGGGACUAACUGCUCUGAUGCUAAGGGAGGAAAAGACAGCAAGUGCAAUUUAUAAUUCCAGCAUGAUGAGCCAUCUGAUCAUGCUAACUCAGUCCAGGCUAAUUAAUUGAUGGCUUGAUGCCUCCAUUGCUCUUUGUCAAGGCCACAGAAUUUUAACACAAACCCAGAUAAUCAAGACAGUUCCAGAUUGCACGAGCAUGAGCAAAGCCAGCUCAACUCCCUCAAGUGCUUGCCUUCUGUGUUGUGCAUAAGCUUAAGAUUUUAAGCUCAGGGGUUGAGGCAGGGUUAAAUGUCAUGACAGAUUCAUUUGUUGGCUUAAUUUAUAAGAGCAUAUGCUCACUAUCAAGCCAGUGCAAGUGAAGAAGCUUGAACUGAAAAGAAAACUGUGAACUGAGUUCAGUGAAGACAACUCUUAAGAGCCUGAGCCAAGCUAGUCAGCUUAUUACCAAAGAUUGUUAGUGACCUAAUCUUAAAUGCCUCCAGUAGUGAAUUACAUUUGAAGAACAUGAAGGCAUCAUGGGGCAGUAGACAAUCAGCUGCCAUUGUUGGAAGGUGUAUGUGCAUCUUUUAAAUAAACCAAGUGGCAAGAACAAAAACAAAGCACGUCAUAAGCCCAGCUACCAAGUCCUUAAAAUUUAACUAGUUCAAAAUGUUGAUGAAUACCUCGGGCAUGGAAAUGGUUGGCCCACUAAUAGAAGCCACUGCUGUAUUAUAUUUUGCAGGCAUUGACUGCGUGGUGAGUAAGGGCGAGAAGGGAAGGUCAAAAUCUCGGAGAGGCGGAACAGUUGCUGCCAAUAAACUGCUGGGUAGAGAAUUAGGUUGCUGCAGAGGAUUAUACAAUUUCAAAUGUUAGAUCUGACAUAGAAACCUAAAUCUUGCACAAGGAAGGAGACCAACUAUAAAACAGCAAUCAUUGAACGACAAAAUACAUUUAAAGGAAUAAAAAAUAUUUUUUAAAAUAUACAAUCUCAAUAUGAACAAAGCAUGAAAUUAUACAUCAUGACCACUCAGCAUUGAUACUUUAUUAACACAACUCACCAUGCCGCAGAUCUUAUUUUCUCAUACGACUGUCUUUAUACGUUCUUUGUUAGAGUCAUUCAGAAGCUUGUCACAAGAACAAUGAAAUAAAAUCUGAUAGUCACCAACUAUAUGAGAGUUCAGGUAUAUGAAAUUUUAAUUUUCAAAAAGAUAAUAUUGAGAAUGAUGAUCAUAACAGUCAGAGGUCAAAUAGCAAAGAAAUUUAAAACUUAACCCAACCAGUUGGACCAACACUUCUUGGCAAUACCCGUUAGAUUUCAUGUAGAACGGUAUUCUUUACAUUAUAUCAUACUAGAUAAAGAGUUCCCAUUACGCUAUUGCAUGAUAAAUAUUCUAGGUUAAGUCCUGUUCAAGGUCAAGCAACAGCAAACUGCUGCAUUUGAAGAACGCUCUCUGGCUCGGUGAUUUGGGACUCGGCGUCGUUGGUGCCUCUCCCAUUGCGUGACAAUGAAUUUUCUGAUGCUAGUGGCUGUAUCUAUGUAAGGGCAGUGCAACUGUGCCGCAUUACCAAAAAAACAGAACAUUAAAAUUUUUAUUUCCUCAAUAAUUUAUGAAUAUUUCAUAAAAAAUUGAUAUUAACUUGAUAUGUGUAAUCAGUAUUAUUAAAAGUUAAUAUUAUUUCUUUUUAUUAACAUUUACUAAAAUACACUUCAGAAAAAUCUAUAUUGAAGGUUAUGAUAUUCACCAUUAAAAUGUCCUACUGUCCCAUCUCUGCCUAACUACUACAACAACCUAAAAUCUAACUGGUCCACAAAAUGAAAUUGGCAAGUAUUGGCCAUCGCAGAAGUAUAAAUUUAAUACAGCAUUAUGUGUAAUUUACUCCAUAAACAUCCUUCACAAGCACCGCUUGCCCAAGAAGGGGCAUAAGCUGAAGUUGUCUUCCACAAGCAUUUCCCAUGACCUGAUUACUCUUACCAAAACUGCAAAAAUAUUGGACCGUUGCUGGAUAACGAAUUCAAUACAAAACAUGGGAUUGAUUGCUAGAAAUGCAAAUGGGUUGGAUUCACGUAGGAUGCAGCAAGAAACAAACCAAACUUCAAUAAGAUAACCUGCUUUGGGUUGGGUUUUCCUUAUCAGGUCGGUUCAGACCACAAUCAGAUUCUCAAAGGCACUACAAUGGAUUAUAAACUUUUGUAUUUUCCCCUUCAAUACCUUUUUUGUCACUCAACAUCCUAAUAAUGAUGAAACUACUAAUUAAAAAUCAGAAUGUGCAUAACUGCAUUCUAUUCAUAAUGAUUUUAAGUAGUUUGCGCCAGGUAGGAAGCAAUGAUCAUGGAUGGCCCUUUAUUAUAAUAUACCGGCCGAUUCAGCCUGUACCGGCUCUAUCGGUCCGGUUCGGUGUUAAAAACCGGCAUCGGCCCAUACUAGUCGGUACGGGCCCAAACCGGCCUGCCAUACCGGCUUACCGGUUCUAAAUUUUUUUGGGGCUUUUCGAUGCGUGAACCAAGCCAAACCAGUGGUACCGAUUCGGUACCUGUCCGAACUGGUACCGGCGCCCACCGGUACGUCGGCACGGCGAACCUUAUUAUGAACUUUGUAUAUUAUGCAUACUUAUACAUUCAUGCACGUAAAAUAUUACCAGAUCAUUUAUCAGAUGACCAUGUCCAAGACUCUUGCAAAUAAGCUAAUCUGUUCUAGUUUUAGGAUUAAAAAAAUGAUUAUCAACAUUCAGGCCUGGCUACCAGGUUGUCUAUAUCUAACUAUCUGAACCCCUAUGUGAUCAACAAGAGUCAGUGAUAGCAACCUGUUAUUGUUAAGAGAUGCGUAACUAAAGUGGGGAUAAAAACAAACAUCAAUUGAAACAUUUUUACUUGUCAAUCUUCAUACUGCUUUAGAAAGAUGGACACCAACAUAUUUGGAGGAAGUUACUUCCUCCAGUUGCUUCAAGUUAUUAAGUUCUGGCUAAGAAAUGCCAGUAGCAUAUCACUUGAGGUAUUUGUUGUUUUUCAUCCAAUAUUAGUGAAGAUUUUUAUGUAGUUAGGUCCAGUGGAUGAUUUUGUAUAGCACUAUCCAAUGUUAUAUGUGACAAGCCUCCUAAUCCUUUCCUAAUAUCUUUAGCGUCCUUGCUUAAAUGCUCAAACUUCCUCACCAGCUACAACAAAUUUUCUUCCUCCCUAACUAUGUCACCCAGUGAUCUGCAGAAUUCCAAGGAGAAAUUUUCCAGACAAGAAAGCAUCAAACACAUUGCUCAAAUUUGACAGCAAGCACGUCUCCAUCUGAGAGAGACCAUUGUUAUACAUAAUGAAUUUUCUCAUGACCCUAGAGGCAUUAACAUAAUUCAGAACUGUGGGGAGCAACUUCUGUUAUCACUACCAAAAAGAUGACUACCAUAUCUCUCCACCAUCGAGGAUACUCUCUCAGAAAAGAGACACUGAUCCCACCAGAAAACUAAAGAACAUAUCCAAUUAAACAGGACAGAUUUAUCCAUCUCCCACUUUGAAGGGGCAACCCUUGAACCACGAGAUCACUAUCAAGUUCACAUGCACUGUUGUAAACCCAGAAACUGAUCCUGAAGAUCCUGAAUAUGAAACCCCAAAAUAGCACGCAUUGAUAUCAUGAUCCUGGAAGAUAUGUAGACAGGCAUAAAACCAUGGGAUCCUAUGUAUAAAAACAGAUAAACAAUUUAUGGUUUAACAGCAACAUAUGCUAUAGAAUUUUGAAGGACUUUGACAAUUUUACUUGGGCAUGGAAAUUAUCAUCUUGUUCUUGGAGGAAUUUAUAGCAUAAAAAGAACAACCGACACUUUCAGCAUCGAUGAAAUUGCUCAAAUAUAAGCAUGCCCAGACAUUAAUUACAGCAUCCAAUGGACGAAUGCUUAAAAUUAUUUGGGUAUCUCGAGACAAACCCCAAACCAGAAAAUUCAAAAGACAACAGCACAUGCAACUAAUCAUCUAGCAUCACCAUCAUGCCAACUGUACAAGUUACAUCUGAAUCAACUACAUCGAAAUGUGCAAUGAUUGUAUUCUCAGAAAGUUGAAGGUGAGGACUUGUACUCAGCAGCCACAAACCACACAGCAUAGAAAGGGAAGCAAAAAUUAGGAUCUCCAGAAACCUUUGGACGCAAAUAGUUAACUAAAAACAUUCUCGAGCAACUGGAUUCAUAAACUGAAGAUAUGUUGACCAAAAUCCCUUCAAGAUUUUCAAUCAUGAUGUUAAUCUAAUUCGCAUUUUUGGUCACUUCCUUAAAUAAGGUCUGAUAAUGAUCAGAAUUAGCUAUUCCAUUUGAGCCUUUAGUUAUCUUCUCACGCUCUUUUAAGCUUUGCUUCAAUACAUACUACAUUGAUGUCAUAGUUUCAUUGCAAGCACCUAAUUUUAUUUUUUGUUCUAUCUACAAUCCCAUAAGGCUGCUUAUACUAUUCAUUCAGAAAAAAACUGGAAUGGAUAAAUCAUGACAACAUGGUCAUUUAAAAAUACUCUGGCUUAGGAUUGAACACAACCCCAUAUGCAUCAUGUACCUUUGACCUUAUCAUGGACUAGAAUAUCUUUCCUGUCAUGCCAGAGCAUGCCAAUAAUUGAUACAAGACAGGAAAAUGCCAUAUUUUGUAACUACACAAUGAUGACUUUACAUGUAUGAUUGAGAUCUUGCCCUUGUUUCAAUGUCAAAGCAACUCAAAGGAUGAUACCCACUCAAUUGAUGAACUUAAUUGGGCAAAAACAUUAAAAAUCAGCUAUUCCUUCUGUAUCUUCUAGAGGGACAGAUAUAGUAGAGGUGAAUUAAUGGAUUUUUGAGGACAGAUAUAAUAGCUCUGCAUAUAAUAUAUUUUUCCAAAAUGUAAAACCCGUUAAAGUCUUAUACAAACUUGAAAACAAAACUACAGCUUUCUGGUAGAAUUGGUAAUGAACUAGAUCAUGGUGAAAUCUUAAUAAGGAAAACAAUUCAUGCUCUGGUGUGCAAAAAAGCAACUCUUGAUGUCAAAACAUUACAUGUAAUACUACAUCAUUUUGUUUAACAAGAUAAUGAGGUUUUAGGUUAAACAUUGUAAGAAGAGUCCAGCAAAGAUGGUGAUGUUCAUGUGAUUUUGUGGCAAAGCUAUUAAGAAUAGCCUCAGAAAUGUAAAAGCAGCUCUAGGAGCCAAGAAUCAGAGGAUGAAGGCAAAAGUAUAUGGAUGGAUUGGACACAAGCAACAUUGGCCAAAGAUAUCUCCAAUAUGAAGAGGGUCUUGGAUUUGAGUUGACAAGCUGGAAAAGGAAACGGAAGACAGAAAACUUGAAUACUAGGGAGGUGUGUGAAGACACUUAAGCUUUCAAAAUAUUUUCCUUCGUUAAGAACCAAUAGCAAAGUAGACCCUAGAAUUCUUGUCUAUAAUUUUCUUUACGAUAAAAAAAAGUAGCAUCUCUAAACAUAACUUUUGUAGUUUCAUCAACAUUGACCAUAAAACAAACUAUACAAUAACUAACAAGUCAAAACGAUUACAUGUAAGGAACUUAGAAACCAGGCACGAGCCUGUACCUUACAUUGUUGAAGUUCUAUCGACAUUAUUGUUUCAAUAAAGUUAUCAUGUCAGAAACACCAACAUGACCUAUUCAAGGUUGGAGACAUAAUGUAAACUGGAUACAUUUAACAUUUUUUCAUAAAAGUAAAACACAAUAAAUCGAAGCUUUUUUGGGUUUCGCCAAAAAGCAAAGAGCGGAGUAGUGAUUUACCAUUAGAUUUGAGAAAGGGGAAAGAUUCUGCAUUUGUGUAUUUCCUUGUGGAUAGGUAUAAGCUGCUUCAUUUGGCUGUGAUGUGCUUGAGAGUGCAUAACCCGAGGCAGAUGGAAAAUUGUAUUGAAGCCCGUGUGUGGCAUCUAAUGUAUCAUUUCUGAUGACCUCAGGUUGCGAAGCUAAAGGCAUAUCAAGAUUCCCUGUGUUUGUGCCAGUUUUAGCAGCUACAUCUUCAUUUGAUGUAGAAAUCAGUUGCCCAUUGUUGUAGUAGUCAUCAUUUCUGUCAUCACAAGUAUGCAUUGUCAUACGUUGAAAAUUUGUAUCAAGAAAUAACAAAACACCAAUAAUACCUAGCAUCUGGUUGAUCGAUUGAAGAAGCAGUUUCUGCAACUGGGGCCACCUCCAAGUUACUUUUCAGGGUCUUUGAUGGAAAAGAUCCAGAAAACGCACCAGAACCAAAACUACCAAAGCUCAAAUGUGCGCAAUCUGCGUUUGUAACCUGCAGGUGAUCAGGAAUAAUUACUGCAGGGUUGUCCUCAGCAGAUUUUGCACCUCGCUCCUCCGUGUGCAGACCUAGUUGCCGUAGGUCUGCAGCAGCUGAUGAAAGUUCUGCACUGACAUCCUCAACUGUAAAAGGGAAAAGAGAAAGAUACCAGCAAGGAGAUGCCAUGACCAGGUUAAAUAUUAUAGACCAGCCAACCCAUUUUAAAAACAAAGAAGAACUUGUGUGCACUCACGAAUGCAAAUAAUAUUUACAUGACAUGAAGCAUAUUUCUACUCAUGAUGGUGUCAAAAUGUAACUAACCAAGAGAAGGGUAAAAUUUUGAAUGGUUCAGACAUGCUAAAAGAUUCCAAAAAAAUUCUGCCGAAGACAUACUUCUAGACUUUGUGACACUUCUGCACUAGUGUGAUACAGUUUUUAAGGUAUCAAUCAACACUUUAAUAGCAGAAUGCAUAUAACAAGCUUGGGCAAAAAGCAGUUCAAGAGGCAAAUAUACUAUAGUACAGUUCACUAGGUAUCAACCAACCGUUUAAUAGCACAAGGCAUUAAACAAGCUUGGACCAAAGUGGAAUUCAAGAAGCAAACUUUUACAAACCAAUACAUAGCUGAGAAAUCACCCUUGUAGGACAGAUACUUUCAAAUUUCUAACAAAUUUUGCAUUGCCAGAUGUGCCAAGAAGUUCUUUUAAGAUUGUCGCGGAACAGAGGGGUAGAUAUGCAACAAAUUAUAUCAUAGGGAUGUUAGAUUUAUGGAUGUAUGGAUUACUCUGCUUCAAACAUAUGCAAUCUCAACUAAGAAACCCUUUGCUAUACUUUUUCCUAGUAUAAACCAUGCUUCAAGAGAUACUUCUAGACUUUGUGACACUUCUGCACUAGUGUGAUACAGUUUUUUCAGUAUCAAUCAACACUUUAAUAGCAGAAAGCAUAUAACAGACUUGGGCAAAAAGCAGUUCAAGAGGCAAACUUUUACAAACAUGUUACUGUAGUAUAGUUCACUAGGUAUCAACCAACAGUUUAAUAGCACAAGGCAUUAAACAAGCUUGGACCAAAGUGGAAUUCAAGAAGCAAAUUUUUACAAACCAAUACAUAGAUGAGAAAUCACCCUUGUAGGACAGAUCCUUUCAAAUUUCCAACAAAGUUUGCAUUGCCAGAUGUGACGAGAAGUUCUUUUAAGAUUGUCGCGGAACAGAGGGGUAUGGAUUACAGAAUUCCUCUGCUUCAAACAUAUGCAAUCUCAACUAAAGAAACUCUUUGCUAUCCUUUUUCCUAGUAUAAACCAUGCUUCAAGAAAAAAAUAAUAAGAUUUCACCAAUAAAAUAGGUUAUUAGUGGGGAAUUUUCAAGAUCAGAGCUUUAGUAUACUACUACGUGUUGGUCUGGUGCGUUAUUACACCUAAUAAAGAAUUAUAGUCCAAGUUGGCUUUUCAGAUUAUAGUUUGCGCCUCACCCAUCAAACUGAUAUGCCAAACCUUCCUUCUUCCUUCUAUCUAGACUCGAUUUAAGACUAGAGUUACCUUGGCAGAUUGCUCCUCGAUGUCAUGAGGUUAAACUGUGUAACCAACAGAAUGGGGCAUCUUAUAUACACCCGCAAGCAUCUAGCUUGAAAGGUAGGCCUGUCAUUGUCCAAAAUUGCCCUGGCUAGGAAUUCAGAACAAAUUUACUGCACAAGGUUUUAGAUGUUAUUUGAAUCUCAGUAAAUCAUAUCUUGAUCCACAAAGCCGGUCCCGUACGAGUGGUUAAUGAUUGUGGUUGAUGUAAAGGCUGGUCUAGAAUACUUUAAAAGUUUAUCUGAGAAAAAAGUUAUUAGAAUUUAAUAUGCAUAAUUUUAUAACUAAUCUUAUUUAUUUAUGUUUAAUGAACUUGACCUCCAUAUCAAUCUCAAAAAUAUUUUGUGCCGCAUGAAACUAACUUUGCUUGACAAUUGUGAUUGCAUGGAAGAAAACUCGGUUCAUAUCAAAUUAAGGUCCAUAAAGAUGUCACCUACUACUAUUACCAUGAAAUGUCAAAAUUGACAAUCAUCUGUUUCAUGAACUAUAUUAAAAGCAUAUACCAACUAUAUUUAAAAGCAUACGCCCGUGAAAGUAACUUUGCCUCAUUAAAAUUGCAAUUAUUGGAGAAUCACUCCCAGAAAAUAUGACGAACAGUGCACUACUAAUAACAGCAAUAGUAUAUGAUAAAAAGGAAAAGAAGAAAGCCGAAAUUCAAUAUCCAAUUGUACCUUCAUGUUGCUCAAAUGCAUGCCUUUGAGUCUGGUAGGAAUUCAUGUUCUUCAAUAAGCCAUCAUUCAAAUGGGAACUCUCUCCAGGAUUAUCCAGUUGUAUAUGCCUGUCAGAGACAGCUGUCGAUCUAAUGGAUUCUGCUGGUAGACCUCCGCUGCUAACAUUUCCCUUUAGUACUUCAAUCUCAUCUAGAUGAGGACUUACAUGCAGAACUCCAUCAACAAGCAAUGUCGAAGAGGCUGAUAGGUCAGCAUAAACAGCUGAGGUGUCAGAUGUUUCUGGCACAAUUGACCCGCUUCCUGCUGGCGGCUCAUCAACUAGAGACCAAUCCUCAUGAGAUGUAUGAUGGCCAUCAGCAACGCCAAUAUCAUGAGCAUUCUCUGUAACCUGUGAAAAAUUCUGAGAAGAGUGUACUUUCUGAUCCGGCUCUGAUGGCAUAACUGUGGUUGGGGAUUGCUUAACACUUUGGUGGGAUACGUGUGACAUGGCAGCAUUUUGUGUUGUGGAGGACCUGUCACUGGCUACAAUAGGUGCAUUACAAGGCUUGCCUUGAGGUCUGCCCAUCUUCACAAUAUCAGCCAUCGAAACAUGCCCUGGCUUCCCCAACCAAUUGUGUUGGAAUCCAGAUGAAGGUUGCAAGGGUGUAGGCAUUUCUUCAGAUAAGCCUGUUACUUGUAUUGUAUUUUCCAUUGAAGCAGAAUCACUGCAACAUAAAAGGAAGAAAAUUUAAUUAAAGAAAAAGGUAAAAGUUCCAUUAAAUGAUCAUCAGAACUGAUUACCAACAUGUUACUAAGCCAAGAGAAAUAAGCCGUCAAAGCUGUAAAAAAAAUAAAUAAAAAUCAUUUUGAUUUUGAAUAUGGAGAGUAAUGUAUAAUCAGAUAGAUCAGUUUUGAAUGUAAACAUCAUGCUGGAAAUCUCCCCUGACAGCACGUGUUCAAAACUCAUCUUCUUACCAGUCAAGACUACACCAAUGCAGGAGGAGGUAUAAUUGCAUAAAAGGCACUUGAGGCAAAAUUGAGAAAAGCUCAACUGACCUAGACACGAUGAAAUAGUGGUGGAAUAGAAAUAUCUGCUCUUAAAUUCUCUAUUAUGAUAACAGAAAUGGCCAUGUUCACCAGCUUGAGUAACCAAAUAUGAAGAUGACCAAGUUGGACCCAAGUAGCAUGUACAAUUCAGCAUUUUGACUUAUCUAAGGUAGUACAAAACAUACCCUUCCAAUUAGUGGCAACAAACGUCAGUGUUAACAUGGAACCAAACACUUAUUGUGGAGGUUUUUUGUUUAAAUAUCAUUCUUCAAACACUAGAAUUGCAGUAUUAUAGCCUUUCAAAUUCAGACCAUACUGCAUAUUUUUUAGAUGGUGUUCCUCUGAAUCUUUGUUAAAGUUUCCAAGCAUCAGAAUAUCUCAAACAUAUAAGACCAUCAGCCACUAAAUUACCUGAUUUUAACAACUAUAGAAUAUCUCAUAAGUCAAAAUUCAGAAUAGAGUUGCAUAGAGAUAGAAAACCAUGCUAAAUCACUGGGGCAUUAUGUAACUUAAAAAUCACAUAAAAUAAAAUGAUAGACAUCCAAACAUGCUAUUGUCAAUAGCAUUGGUUCAAAAGCAACAAACUUACACAAAUUUUUGGGUUUAAGUCUGGUCUGAAGUGUGCAUAACCUUUUUGCUAGAGUAUGUAGGACAGAUCACGGUUUAACGUUUCAAACAAACUCGGAAACCAAUACCAUGAUGUUCUGAUUUCAACCAUAACCAAUCCAAAACCUGACCAGUUUUGAUGUUUCAGCUGACACCAGUUCAUGCAUGGCAACAUCAGUGGCUCUAUAGUCAUUUUUUUCAUUUCUAUGAGUUCUGAGAAACAUUUUGUCAGAACUAAGAAUGAACUUUGCAAGUCUUGCAAAAAAAUUGGGUUCAAAGAAAUUUAAAGAAGUCAAUUCUUUGACAGAUUUGGUUACCCUAAAGCUCAAAUCUCAUGCAUGAAACAAUUGAAAAUGAUACAUAUGAAGUUCACAAAAAAAUAGCAUAUCUUAAAAUGAUGCCAAUUCUAUUUUCUUAUCUUGUUGAUUUUUAUUCAAUUUUCUGAUAUUUCCUCUAUUUUGCUAUCUUUGGAACUUUUUUUAGCUAAAAUUAUCAUGACUGAUGUUAUGAACUUCCAAAACAGCUAAAACUUUUGAAAAUAAAAUUCAUUUAAAUGCCUAGCCAAAAUCAAAACAAAGCUUUUGAACUUUGUGAUGAAUUAUAUUGUAUUCCAGGUCUGCAAUCUAAUUAUCGAGUAUUGCACCAGUACAUUACCAGUUCCGUGCAGUAUGAUGGGUAUGGCAUGCACGACAUACCGAGAUAGCUGGGUGGUACGGGUUGGAACAAUACAAUCUACAUCCCGGUUUGGGGCGGUACAUGGUGGUACAGAGGUGAUUUUGCUCGGUUUGAACUAGUAGGGAUCAGUUCGACUUAUAUACCAAACCAAACCUCAAUACAACAAUUAAUACCUUACCCAUAUGAUACGGUACGGUUGAUAUGGGUUGUUACGAUAGAUCUUAGUUGUAUUCCAUGUCAUUUUAUUUAUCUAUCAAUUUGCUCCAAAUGUAAACUAAGAGAAGCUCAAAAGAAUGGCAUUGAGGUUUACAUAGGCAAAUAAGAAAAUAAAAUUGCAUCCACAAAACAUAGCAAAUAAAAGCAUUUAGGUAAAGAUGUAUACAUGCCCCAUAAGAUGGCAGGUUUAAGUAACACAAAUAGGCAAUUAGAAAGUAACUAGACAUCAAUUAAAAGUUUAACGGUCAUGGAACUUGAAUAGGAUAGGGCAAUAGUCCGCCAACAAAAAAUAUAGUUGGUUCAAGAAGUAGAACAUUUUAAUUCUCGAUGUCUGGAAGCAAGUAAAUACUAUCCAAUAAAGUUUAGGAAAUACUGACCUUGGAAUUGUUGACCUUCGAUUAGGAUUACUUGCAACUAUGCUAGAUCCCAAGAUUGAUGAGGUAGGAAGACUAGUAAUUCCAUUUUCUUUCUUGUUUACAGGUUUGCCACGAGUAACUCCAUAAUCUAACAGAGUGCAACCAAAAAGAGAAGGUAGAGAUAUAAAAUUACAAGUGUUAGAUAACGUCUUUGGUGUACAAGAAGAACAACAUGACACAUCCACAUACCACUUGAACUGGAUUGCGCCGAACUAUUACGUCCCAUACGGUCAAUACCACCCCUCGCUCCACGGCCUGAACUAUUCACUGCUCGAGACCUGGAUUCUGGAGGUUCUUUGAUCUAAACAAUAAAAGACAAAAGGUGGGAAACCCAAAAAAAAUAUUAUAUAGGCAUUCAAGAAAUGCUAAAUUCGCUUGUGCUUUAAUAGAUAGAACAUUCGAAUAUAAAAUUUAAAUCAGGUUAGCAAUUGCCAUCUGAAAUAACUAUUACAACAAGAGAAAACUAAUUAAUAGUGAUAGCUGUACUAGUAUGGAUAAAUUGUUGAAGCAACAACAUUUGAUAACAAAGAUACUGGAGUAUAUAGCUGGUACAAAGAUUAAAUGGUGAAAUAGAAUUUACAAAGCCAACUUACAAAACUUGAUAAAAUUAAAAAAUCAUUGUUGUCAGCUAAUAGUUGUGUAACAUAUAAUAUAUGCAAAACUACAAACCAAGUUCAGAACUGUGAACUGAAAAUUAAAAAAAGAAAUAAAAGAUAAAAGAGUAUAGCCUAUCAUCCCUAAUGACUGGAGCAUAAUUUGCAGCAACUAUGAUUAAAUAAUAGUUACACUGACCUCCUUUUUCUUGUCACGUUUGCUCUUCACCUCAUGAAAAGUAUCUACACAAUUAACAAGCAUUAAAUUAAUUAUAAAUUACUAAUAGCAUGAAAAGCUGUAUGCACAUAGCCUUGAAUUAUAUGCUACAGAAAAUGCUGGCAACAGCAGCAAAGAUGCUUAUAAUGUAUCAAAAUAUAUAUGUAUCUGAUGAGUUUCAGAACUAUGUUAUCAACAAAUAACUCGUAAUAAUAGGCGCUGUACUAGAUAAUAACCAACAGAGAAAAAAGACAAAACACAUAUGCAACUAAAUAUUUUUAAAUCCAAAGACAACAAACUUAACAGAAAAGAAAAUGUCGAGAGCUCCAAAAGCAUGAAGUGGUUAUCAGCAUUUCCUUUUCAACUUAAAAGCACAUUUUAUUAUCCUUUGAAAGCAAGUGAUUAAGAAAAUCAUGAUUAAAAUUGAAUAAUAAUAGUUGCAUUACUAAUAUAAACACAAACUGAAGAAAAAAACAUUGAAUGAAACAAUCAGUAAGUACUUCCUACAUGUUCUAAAGAGCAAUGGGAAAUUGAAUUUUGUUUUAAAUAGAGUCUCGUAGGGUUUUCAGUCUCUGUGCUAGACCCUAUACCGGUACUUUACUGGUACAGGUUACACCAAUACACCCCGCACCGACACAUGGUACGUAGCUAGAGGCAAGACAAUAUCAGUACAGUAAUGUAUUGAGCCCCCAUACUGUAUCAGUAUCUUAUCAGGUUUGUACGGUGUGACCGGGGAUAACAGUCGGUAUAAAAAGCCUUGGACUCUCAAAUAUGUGCAUAAUUUUUUCACAAUAUAAACGGCCACUAAGGGAAAACUGGUCCAGACCAAACAUCUAAAGCCAGUCAAACCUAAAUCAGAUAAUAGAAGUUUCAGACUAGUUACAUAUUAGUUGAAUGUUAAAAGUGGUCAAAACCAGAUCUUGAGGGGAAAAGACAAGAAGCCAGUAGUUUUUAUUUCACAUAAAUGUUCUUUUUGACAAACAACAAAAACAUAUUUACUGAAAACUCUUGGAUCUUAAUUUUGUUAUACAUGUUCAUUUAGCUUACAGAAAACUGACCCAUUCAAGCAAUUUGUGUCGUUAAGCCAAAAUCAAAAAACAUCAGAAAAAGCAUUCCAAGAGAUAAGAUCUUCCACAAACCUAACACGCGACCAAUGUCAGACGUUAUAUUUAGCCUGCCCUUCUUAUAUGCAUCUUUCGUUUACAAAUGCUUUAAGUCCUCCACAAAGGUCUCAUAACAUAGUAAAUCACCAGAGAGGCAUUCACACACCACUGAUACUUGAAAAAUUCAGAUUUAAGCACUUGCAAGGCAAAACUAAUCUAACAAAAAGAAAGAAAGUAUUGUUCAGGUUAUUGCAAAACACUGAUUAAUAACGCUACUUCCUAAAAGGCCUUUGUAAUAUCACUUUUCAUCACCUCUUGCAAGUCAUCGGAAAGAAAAGAGAGGAAAUCAUGAAGAUGAGCAAGAGUUGGAUAAAUUUCUAAAUUAGAAGUCAAAAGGAAAUAUUAUCAUUUUUGAUGAAGCAUGAAAGUCUUUAUUAAAAUGAUCUAGAGAGUGAAAAAAAACAUGAAUCAAAGUAUCCAGAAACAAGCUUUCCCAGCUUUUUUGUACUUUAAACAUUGGUAGUCUAUAUGACAUCCCUUCUUAUAUUUUGUACGCAAAGAUUGAGAAUUCGUCAUGAAUGAUAGACAGAAAACCUCGAAUGAUAUCUUGAAAGGCUUAAGCACAUUGAUUGGACUCAAAAGAAACAUAAGUGUAUUUGGCAGUUAAAGAGAUGCAGCAUAGACUAAGGCAAUGAUAUCAGGCACACAGGAACAUUAAGUGCAGUUAGUUUUGGUGAAAACUAAUGCAAUUAAGAAUAGCAGAGGUGAAGCCAUACUACAUGUAGCACAUUGAAGGCACGGAAGGAAAAUAAAGCACUGAUUUCUCAGGGACAAAAAAGGGAAGCACCUUCUGUAAAACAAUAAACUCCAAACUUAAUCUUAUACAUAAACUGCAAAUAUAAUUAAACACCAGCAUAUUUAUUGAAAUAGCCAAACAAUAAGAACCAAUCAUCCAUCAAAGAAAAAUACGACAAAAGACCCAACUCUACAAAGUUUGAAACAAAACAAAGGAUCUUCUUUUCUUUUAUGUUUCCUCCCUGAUCAGUAUAAGCAAACAAGAUAAGAAGCGGGGCAUUAACUAAACUUAGUCGUGGGAACCACAAAGGAACACUAAAAAAACAAAGAAGGAAAAAGAAUCUCCCAGUCCACACAAGUAGGACUCUUCCAAGAAAAUAAACAUGCCACGGACUGAAACCCACCAACGAAACUGCAUUUUUCACUAUAUCGAAGCACAAAAUUGACGAACGUAAAGUGACACCCACCCCUUAUCUCAUUCCGGCCAAUAAACCAGCCCUUUUCCCCAAAAAGAUGCCCUCUUUCUUGGAAGUUCUUGUACUACUAAUUGGUCUACAGACAUGUUCAAGGAAUCGAGACCAGAGAAAAGAGUAAAGCGUAGUGCAUUAACAAAAAUCGAAACAACAAAACUCAAGGGAAGAAAAAAAAAUUGCAGUCUACCCUCGUAAGAGCUAUCUACAAAAGCAAAAAUGGAUUUUUUUUUUCUUUUCUUUUGUUAGAUCAAAGCAGGAAAAGAGCAAACAUGGAAGAUUUUCUACCCAUUAUCUCUUUUUCUAACAAACUAAACCUAAAACAGCCCAAAAAACCUAAAAGGGCUGCUUCGUCUCCUCCAAGAUGCCACUUUUCUCGCUAUUCCCUCAAUUCCCGGUCGUUGCACGGACAUAUACAUAAAAAAAUGGAAAAAUGAGAGAAAAUGAACGAGGUGGAGGCGGCACCUUGAGAGAGGAGUCGGUGGACGGCCUCGUUGGGGUCCAUGUUACACUCCCUGAGCAUGGAGUAGAUCUCCGACUCCGGGCAGUUCACGAUCUCCUUCACGCACUGCACCAGCUUCCUCGACAUCGCCGGGAUCGGGCCGGCCACCGCCCCGUUCCCCCUGCUCCCCCCCUCCCAGCACCACCACCACCACCGCUCAUCCUACCUUCCUCCCCUCCCUCUCCCCAAAGGACAAAAUCCCCUCCCUUUUCCCCUUCUCUCACUCUCGCGCUCUCCCUUUUCUCACCAGAAGAAGAGAUCGGGGGUUAUCUCUCAAGUCUCUCCUCCCUGAAGGCGGCCAAAACCCUCCCGUCUUCUUUGUCUCCCAAUAUAUAACCCUCACUCUAAAAUAAUAAUACCGUGGUCAUCUUUUCCUUUGGGUUAGGCGAGCAGCGAGAGCUCCCUUUGCCAAGGACCAAGGUGCGAUUGCCUUAAAAUUGUGAUCCAUAGAUUUGUCACCCAAGUAAAUAGCGACGAUUAGGAUGCGCCGCAUCCGCCCAUUCUCUGAACUUGUAGUUAUUCAUUAUAGGUGUUCGCCGCGAGCAGGAUGUACGUUCUAAAAAUCAGCUAGGGCUCAAUUUGGUUCGGAAAAAAAAAAACUAAUAUAUAUAUAAUAAAAUAUAAUAUUUAAAAAAUAAUAAUUUUUGUAUAUUUAGCUGAAUAUUAAAAAAAUUAAAAUAUCUAAAAUAGCUUAUAUUUAGUUGAACAUCUAUUUUUUAAAAAAAAAAUAUGUAAAAUAUCUACUAUAUCAUUAAUAAAAAAUGCUUUUCUAUAUCUCAUGAGUUUUUCUUUUCUAUAAAAGUUGAAAAUCUUAUUUAUAUGUGAAUCUACUUUUUCAUCUUUCUCCUUUGAAAACUCUAACCAAAUAAAAAGUAUUUUUUGUUUUUCUGUUGACCAUAUUUUUUUCUUCUUUUUUCGCGAACCAAACAAAUCCUAAAAGAAUUAGAUAGUUUUCACAUUUACUACCAUACCUUUCAUUUCGGAGAUGUGUGGCUUUUCUUUAACAUUAUGUAUCACACUCAGAAAUAUAUGGAUAUUAUUUUGGAUAAGCGAGAGUUGUGAUACUUCAAAAUGGAUGAUAUAAUGGCUAUNNNNNNNNNNNNNNNNNNNNNNNNNNNNNNNNNNNNNNNNNNNNNNNNNNNNNNNNNNNNNNNNNNNNNNNNNNNGGAAUGAUGGUACCUUUGCGGUGAAUUUUGAUAUUGUCAUAUGCAACAUUUUAGAAAGAUCCAAGCUGAGUUUGAUGCAAAUAUGAAGCCUAAAUACUUUCAUUCUACGUCUAGGUGCUUGGUGACUGCUCAUACCCUUUAUGGCAUUUUUGUUUUUUUGUCUUUUUUUUUUUGGCCAAGAGAAGAUUAUACGGCAAAUUAAUGGGCUUAACAUGUUAAAAGAAAACGAGCACAGCUAUACCUACUCUUUGGGUAAUUUUACUUUUAAAUUCAUAUAUUUUGAGUGGACUUUUUUAAUUUCGUUUUCAAGACCAGUAAUUUUUCAUUUUAAAUCAAACGUUAUAGCUCAAUGGAUCUCUGCAGGAUAAUGCUUUUAUUUAUAGUCUUGGAACUAGAACUUGCAAUGAAAUACAACUAAAUUUGGUGUUCCUGCAUGAGAUUCAAUUCAAAAAAUUAAACUAGAUUUGAAAAACCUGGACAUAAAUCAAUCAAUGACAUGGUUUGUUUGCCAAAAUAAGCAAAAUGGACUCUCCCAGCAGAAAAUAGUUUAAGCUCAAAUAAGGCAUAUGGCAAUUAACACUCAGUGCAGCCCUAUACAUUUUUGUUUGUGAUCAAUAAGAAGGCCAAAACUAUUUAUAAAAUAGCCCUCAUUCCUCUUUCAAGGCCAUCUAGUCUAUUAUGUCAUAUGAAUAUUUAUAAAUAACCACCCUUGCCACCUUUCAUUGCCUUUUGAAUUAGAUCCAUGUUUCACUAAAUAAAGACACAAUAAAAAGAAAAAAAAAAUGUUUCAGCUCUUUAUACCAACAAGAACAUUUGAUUUCUGGCAUAAUGUCAUAGAUCACACCAAUGAACUCCUCAGUAUCUGCAGCUCUAGGCAUUCAGCAAUGUGGUGAUUAUAUACCAAAAAAAUUGAUGAUGUUGAAAGUUGGCUCUGAAUGGAACUAUAGGAAAAUAUCACUUAAGCACUCUACACAUCAAACCUUUUAAAAGCCUUUAUCAUAGACUUUCAAAAGCAGCUGAGAGAACUUGUGAUUUAAACAUAACCUGUUGUCAGCUUGAGAAGCCUGUAAAUCUUCCAUGUAUGAAACUGAAACUUCUUUCAGCUAAGAAGUUGACAAGCCAAGACCUUGUAUACAUCAAAAUACAAAUUCCGGAGGCCUUCUGAAGCUCCUAAUCGUGUUAGACUAUAUAAUAGCUGAAAGUUUUUGGCCAUGGUCCGACAACAUUAUAGGGACAUGCAGCAACUCCAAGCAACACAACCUAAGCCAUUUCAUCCAAGCCACUCUGCACUUGAAACGAUGAACUAUAUAUCACCACAAUAGAACUACAACCAGGGAUAUUCGCCAACUCAUCCUCUCUCAUCUUCUGUAUCAUCCCACCUCCCACUUUUCAAGUACAUGUUCGACAAAGCCACAUAGCGGCAAGUGUCAUGGGGACCAAGCUCAAGGAGAUGAUUUUCUAUAUUCUCACGCAUUCAAUGUUCCCAUGCCUGCUUGAAGCUUCAAGUAGAGUUCCCCGAGCACGAACACUAACCUUCGCAUCAACUGCUUUAACAAACACUUUAGCUUCAUCUAGCUGCCCACCUGGCAUCCAAGAUCAACCAUGCAUGCGACAUGCUUAGCUUUUGGUUCUAAAUUGUAUACUGUGCUCAUUAUGUGAAAGCACCUCUGCCUGUCCUUGACCAUUUAUGCCAUCUCGGAAAAUAGCUGUAGAGCUUCUCUACCAUUACCAUGACUGCCAAGGUUUACAAUUAGAGUCCCAUGCACUGAUAUCCCUCUCCUUUGUGCUAGUAAACACGACAAGAGCCUUAUCCAUUCUUCCACACUUUGCAUACACGUCCAAGAGCGCCGUUCCUAAUUCAGCAUCCAAUCUAAUUUCCUUCCUAUUAACAUAACUAUGGAUCCAUUCACCUUGUUGCAAGGCCGUGAGACAGGAGCAAGCUGAUAGCAUGCUCACCAGAGCAAACGUGUUGGGUUCAAUCUUUCUUGCGAGUCACGAGCAUCUCAUCGCGGGAUCCUUCAUCUCCGAUGGCAUCUGAUCAGACAAAAAGCGAGCUCUCUCCAUUGAACCAGAACUACAAUACCUGCCAAACAUGGCGUUGCACGUGAUAAGCUUCUUUAAACGCCCUGAUCAAACAGCCCCCAUGCUAUCUCCAAAUAUACACACUUCACAUACCCAUUCUAUCAGACAAUUAGAAGACAAUGCAUUUCUCUCCGGAAUUUCGUCAAACAUCUUCUCUGCCUCUCCUAUGAGCCCCAAAUUCAAUUACUGAAUUCGGAGGCAAACAUCUCGCUGAGGCAUUCUAUCAAACAUCCGGCGAGCAAGAAAAUGAUCCCCAUAACUAAAUUGAAUCGACGAAUUCUGCAUGAAUAGAUCCGCUUGCAGCUCGUGUUUAUAGACCAUCCCAUGGACCUGACUCUCUUAUUCGAUUGCUUCGAGGCUAGAACAAGCCUUGAGAACGAAGGGAAAGGUCAUGGAUUUGGGCGCCGCUCCCGUCCCUCGUGCGAGGACUAUUUGGUGGAAGAGGGAAAAGGCGAGCUCGGCUGGCUGGUGUUGGCGCGGCCGCGGGCGGCAAGAAGGCGGAAAGAGAAGAGGGAGUGACGGACGAGGCCGUGCAUGACGAGAGCGGAGGGGGCGGGGGCGAAGUCGGCCAUUCCACGGCAGAAUCUAGAUAGGGAAACGGAUGGGGGUUGGAUUGCGAAGACGAGUAGCGUGACAAACAAUAGCCAUAAUGAAGCAGAACCACCUAAACUUAGAGCAAUGAUAUCCGCUAGUAUAACUCGGUUAUAGUGCAUCAAAUUGUGCUCCCUUCUCUCUUUUUUUAAUUGCAUCACAUGUUAUGCUUUUGAAAUCUUUUGUUGGGAAUGGAUGUUUUUGUGAUGCUUGUGGUAAUCUAAGAAUGUAUUUGUUUGUCUAAGCAAAUUUUACAUCGUUUUAUUUUCUUCUCAAAUUUAUAAUUUAUAUCCUAUAACACUUUUUUCCCACUAAAGAGGUCACUAAUGACUAGAUUUCAUUCAAUUUUCUUCAUCAAUUAAAUUCAGGAAUUCAAUUUUCUCAUUCUAUCCUAUAACAUUUGACAGACACCAAGGAUGGAUGGCCAGAUUUUCUAUUCUAGUUUAUUGCUCAUGCCUGAUCAUUCCCUUGCCAGGCCAGGAACUGAGUAAAAUUAUGAUUUACUAAUUAGGAAAUCGAACAAGCAUUUCCCCACAUCAUUUUUAGAAUUUCUCUAUUUUCUGCAAAAAAAAUAUUCUAGCCUUUUCCUUGUGACAAAUGCCAUUUCAAUAUGACCAUCGACUCUCCAAGCACUUCUACAUCUAACCUUGCUAUAAUAUCUAUUAUGCUUUAACCUUGAUAUAAAAUCUAUUAUGCUUAAACUCUUAUGUUCUUGAACCAGUUCUCUUCCCAUCUUAGCUUUAGCACAUAGAAGCAAACUGUUAGUUGCCUCCCGUCGCAUAACACCAAAUAAAACAAUUGCAUCAUAUUCACAAAUCCAUCAACUAUUGUAGAAUUUCUUGACUUAAAGUAGUAGGUUCAUAUAAUGAUCCAUAACAUAGCCAUUGCCUAAAACAGAAGCAAGACAUGCAUGACAAAGUUUGGCCUACGCAACGAUAUCAUCACCCACAUAUGCUAUGCUAAAAAUGCAACCAGUAACCUCCACAAGUAGAGCACAAGUUUGAUAGUAUAUCAAAGUCACCACAAGAAUUCCAUAUGGAUAUUCCUAAGCAACAGCUUUCCUUCUUAGAAGAUGCUCGACAUGGAGAGAAUUGAUCUUGGCAGCAAGUAUGAAAUCAUUUUCAGUCAAUCCUCCUGCAUGUAACAAAAAGCAAAACAGUUUUAAGAGAUGAAAAAAGAAACAUUUUUCAUUAAAACCUCAUUGUAAUUGCAUAGAAUAUAAGCCAUGUAGCGUCACACAAGUAGCUCGGCACUAUUCCUGCAGCAUUUAAUAUAGUUAAAAAAAAGUUGAAAGAGCAAUGUUCUAUAACUAAUUUCAGACAAUGAAUAGUCUAUAUGACAUUCUGACUUUUUCUUGGUAUCUAUUAGUAAGUUCCCCGGCCUGUUCACAUACUAGGAGAAAAAGAAAGAAUUUGCUAAUGUUAUAAAUGCAACCUCUAGCUUUUCUAUAUCAAGAAGGUAAAAGAGGCAUCUAUUCUGUAAAUGACAAAAUAGAGAGAAGUUGUUCUGACAUUGAUAAAUUUACCAUUGGAGACCUAAAGAUGUAUGAACAUGUGUUAAUGCAUAUACAUGUGCAACAUUUUCAGGAUGCGUGAAUUUGUUGUGGCUACUUUUCCCAUCCAUUUAUCAUUUUAGUGUGAAUAUAAGCAGGCUUUAAUGCUCUAACAAUAAGGUUGUACUACAGGUAAAUAUCUGCAUAAACUAUCACUGCAUCAUUAUAGGCCACAGCAAAAGAAAUUUGGUGUGAAUCUUCAACCAGUCCAGUAAGGUAACUGAUUGGCUUGUACACAGACAUUUCCUACAUCCAAAAACUCGAAAGUAGAUAUAUCUCCAAUAUAAAGUAAGCCAAAACAAUUUUCCUGCAAUUUGAAAUGAUAUACAACAUUUCAAAUGCAGCACGGGAUGUAGUCCUAUACCGCAUGUUGAUAUCUUGUACCACACCGGCUUUUCAAAAAAACAAUAUGCCUCCGGUACUUGUUUUCAAAACCUUGACUAUGAUACUUACUAGAGUCAAUGAAAUAUUACAUGGUGAUGGAAGAGAGAUAUUUUCAGAUAGAGCCAACUCCUUUUUAAGGUUUUUUCUUAAAUAAAUAUGAAAAGUAAAUCACCACAAGCACCCUCAUCCGAAUGAGAAAGCAUAAGCUCUUCAGUAUUCUUGAUCCAAGAAGGACAAAAUUUAUCCACUUAAAAGACAAAACUAAAGUGAAUUAACAACUUCUUACCAACUGAAUGAGUCCAUAUAUCAAUUUUAACGUUGUUCCAACCAACUAGAUGAAGGUCAGGAUGAUGACCUGAAAAGGACACAUGUUGCCAGCACAUAUAUUAAAAAAUUGGUAACCACAUUUGAACAUUAAAUUUGAAAAGCAUCUUCCUAUAUAGAUCAAUACAAAUAAAAUUAUUUGCACACUUCAAGCAUAUCUGAAAAAUUUCAAUCAAAAUGUCUAAAGAAGACCAUCAAAGAUGUAAUAUACGAACUAUUUUUUGGCUUAUAGCCCCUUGAAUUUAGGGUCAAUAUAAAAUAAUACACUAUGAUACACCACAAAUUGAUUAGCAAGGAUGAUAUUUAAUCAGAAGUGCAUAUAAAAACUAGCUUAGUUUUCAUCUGCUUAAGAUCCAUAUAAUCACUUUUAACAUAAUGGCAUUUCAAAAUAAUAAUCCCAUGGUUUUCUUGGUGUCAGAUCAAAGAACGAGUUAAACAAUAAUUACAUGAUAAUACCAAAUAGUUUAACUUCCAUCUGUCUAAGAUCCAUAUAAUCUUUUUUUUUACAUAUGGCAUUUCAUCAUCAUAGUCCCAUGGUUUUCUUGGUCUCAGAUUAAAGAACGAGUUAAACAAUAAAUACAUGAUAAUAGGUGAAAUCAUGAAAGCUAUUAAGAAAAUUGAGAUACUGAUACAGUAUGAAGAAUUUUUGAAAUUGCAUGCUACAUAAAAACAUACAUAUAUUCCGUAUAAGGCUGAUAUCUAUCAAUUCACUUUCAAAAGACUAGAUGAUUAUUUAACCCAAGUACUAUAUACAUUCAGCAUCAUUGGAUGGCUAUGGAAAAUGCUGACAUAGAACUAUCAUCAUACAUACAUACAUCCAUGCAUGCGUAUAUUCCAUAUAAGGCUGAUACCUGACCACUGCAUUUUUAAAAGACUAAAAAUUAUGGAACCCAAGGACCAUAUAGACUCAAGAUCAUUAGAUAGUUAUGGAAAAUGUUGAGAUAGAACUAUCAUCACACAUACACACAUAUUCUGUAAGGUAUCACUUCACUCUUAAAAGAGUAGAUGAUUACUGAAGCCAAGGACUAUGUAGAUCAACAUCAUUGGAUGGCUACAGAAAAUGUCAAGAUAGAACUAUCAUCAUAAUCAGUAUGAAAAUUUCACCAGCACAAAAUCAGAUGAAAAGAUCCAACAAGUGAUUACAGAAUUUAAAAGGUGAUUAUACUGAUGCAUGUUUAUAGUGAAUUCUUUUGAACAGUAUCGUUCUGCAUUAUUCUGUGUUGAUCUCAAGUUUGACACCAUACAGUUUUCCACUAAGAAAUGCUAUUGGUGGUCCACAAGAUAGCACAAGAUAUGAAGCUUUCCAUAGAAUUAAUAAAGGACAAGCUAAUAUGAAGCUUCCAUAGAAUAAAUAAAGGACAAGCUAAUAUGGAGCUUACAUAGAAUUAAUAAAGGACAAGCUAAUAACAAACCCGCUCUUAUCUCCAAGCAGUGGCUACAGCCGGUCGAGCAAUCUAGAACAAUUUAAGUACUUUCAAAAAAACUUACCAACAUGGUGACUAACAUAGGGUUCCUAAACUAAAUUAAAACUUAAUCAAAAAAUCCUAGCAAAGAUUCAUCCAAAUGUGACUGAUAAAAUAAGCAAGAAACUAAAAAAACAGAGAACUUUCAUAGUUGUUGCCCUACGCCUGAUAGCCCUAUUGUCUAGCUUGCAACGCUAUUGUGCCUGGAAUAUAUUAUGGAUGCCACCUGCUGUUUUAGCAUUUUUUUUGCAUUUGCAUCACAAUCCUACUAGAUAACACUAAAUACAUACAAAAAGAAAUAAAAGUUUGAGCUCAGAGUCUUUUUUGUUGCAAGAGAAUAUAAGAAAAAGGAAUUAGAAAAGAAAAGCUUUUCCUUGGAAAUUUAAAUUUCUGAAUUGUUCAGUUUGCCAGAAGAUUUGAUGAUUUGAGGAAAGAAAAUGCUUCACUUGGACACUGCAAAAGUUAAACUCUGCCUCCCUAAACCUGUUCUGAAAUUACAAAGUCGAGUUUUGCAGCAAAAAUAGAAAAUGAUUUUCGUAUUCUAGGCUUUUUCCUAUUUUCAAGAAAACAGAUAAAAAAAUUCCAGGGAAAAUCUAUUUUUAGAUGCCCUUCUCCAAGCAAACUAAAAGACCCUGUGGGCAAAAAAUGAAAACUCGAAAUGAGGGAAAAUGCUGCAUAAAGAAAACAUCUAUAUCUCAAAAAUAUCAAUGACUGGCAAUAUGUGAAACCAAAUAUACCCUCUGCCUCAGCAACAUCUGCCACGAGCUGAAAAAACUCCAACCCUUUUGUGAAACUCUUCACUUUGCAUGAUCGAUGCAACUUCAUAACACCACCUUCACUCAACAAAUUCCAACCUUGUACCUAAUUUCAACAUACAAGUCAGAAACAUCUUCACUCAACAAAUGCAGAAAGGAGCCUAACAAGAGGUUGUAAGCAAACCUGUGCAAGUAGUUCAUUUGCUGACUGUUCAGACAUUGGUCGAAUAUCCUUUGAGUCACAUGGAACGCAUUUCUUGGAUGUCAAAUCUGUGAACAGCAUCAGAAGAUUUUUAGAAAGCAAGACAAAACUCCAUUCCAGAUCUCCCUACAAUUUGGCAUAGAAAUUUAAACCUGGAAAAUUAGCAUUUUGGGAUACCUAGUACGUCGGAAAUUAUAAGUUUACUGUGUAGAUGCUACUUAUCACUACAAAAGAUUUUUGAUGUAUUUAAAUAUAGAAAAAAACUCAUAAAUUUGUAUCAUCUAAGAAGAAAAGGACAACUAUAAUUUAUUACUGAAGAUGAUUCGGGCCGAGAUUACCAGCUACAACUGGCUGGUACAUACCAGACCAUUUGGGGAUCAGCACGCAGCACCACACAGCUAAGUAUCAUUUUGACACAACCACAUGCUGUUCGAUAUACACCUUAUUGACAGAUAAAUCCUCUUUUUCUGCUCAUUUGAAUGGUGGGUGAAGGUCUCUUCUUGUGUUGGUAUCUACACAACAUGAUACAUACCAUACUAAUGCCAUUAUGAACCUGUACACCAACUUUUAAAUCCUUGAUGUAUCCACUAGUGUUGUGCGUUACUCACAAUCAAGGAAAUUGUGUCCUCCACUCAAAAACAGGCUCAAUCUAAUUUUGUUGCCGCACUUUGAGUUAAUUCUCAAAUCAUUAUACUAACAUUUCCGAUACCUUUUUCUUUUCUCAAAUUUCCUACUAUAAUGUAUGUGCAAUGAUGCUUUAGCAAUUUAUAACCUUUUUACUUUUUUGAUGUUGGGUUCAAAUAGGCGGGGCAAGACUGUGUCUCUAGCCGGUAUUUCACCUAAAAAAGAGAAAACAGCUGGUACCAUACCGUAUCGAGUGUACUAUGCCGUAAUGAUACCGAACCUUACCAUACCGUACCACAUAAAGACACUGUAAUAAGAUGGUAUUGGUUUGGGUUCUAGUACCAAGACGGCAAACCUUGCUAACAGAUAUCUAAAAUAAAAGAAGAACAUAUAUCAUGAACACAUAAUGUUGUCAGACUGAAUGCUCCAAUCCCCUAACACAUACCAACCCAGCAAAAUUCAUGGAACCAGGAGUGGCAUUAACUUUUCUAAAAACCUAACCAACAAAGAGAACU
This 46100-nucleotide long non-coding RNA is filed under the name Phoenix dactylifera (date palm). RNAcentral describes it as "long non-coding RNA (PDAC_LNC003578)". The record is from RNAcentral. Lineage: Eukaryota; Viridiplantae; Streptophyta; Magnoliopsida; Arecales; Arecaceae.